UGGGUUGUCUGUGGAUCCGGCUGGAGGAGGGUUUUACACUCAAGUACUGACUGCUGAGACUGGAGAGGUAAUUGUUAGAUAGAUCUGUGAGACGUCUCAAGGUCACUUUGAUUUCAGUUAGUCUUGGUUGUUAUGUUCUUUAUUCUAUCUGCCACGAGUUUUAUGGCUUUAUUUUGUUUUUUGUUCUUUUUUUCUGCAGGAUAUUGUUCAUAAGAUACUUUCAUUAUCUGAAACGAAUCCUCGAUCACUUUGCAUUCUUACAGCUACUGGUGUGGUUUGUAGCGCCGUCAUACGCCAACCUAGUUCUUAUACUGGUAUUCUGAGAUUCAAGGCAAGAUUCUCAUAAAGUUGGAAUCUUUUCAGUAAAUCCUUUUCUUUAAUUUGUUUCUCUCAACAGCCAUGGAUGCUAUAUAUACUUUUAGGUGUGACAUCUUUAACACAACUUGAACCCAACACGAAGUGUAAACAUGAGUAACUCGAGAAAAAUUCGUAAAUAAUAUGACUUUCUAACUCAAAUAAUAAACAUGCCAAGUUAUAGAGUUUAAACAAGAGUGAGUCCAUCCUGACAUAACUAACUUGUUUAAUGGUAUUGUAUGAAGAACAUAAUCAUUUCUCCAAUUUUUUCCCUUUGCUUUGAUCUGAUAUGAUAUAGAUCUAUGUAGAGUUAUGGUAUUCAUUUUCUUGGUUUUGCUAGCAUCUAAAUGAAUAUCUUUAUAUCGCGCACAAGCGAUACAUUUAGUUUAGUAAAAUGGAUCUUACCUUAAUUAAUUAUGUGGAUCAAUCAGGACACGGUAAUAAUGACAAGUAUCAAGUCAUCAAACAUGAUUAUAUGUUAAGUUAGAGUUCAUGAAAAUUCAACACAAAUCCAACACCAUAUAACUCGGUUACCACCCUUACUUUGGUUCACUUGUGUAUCUAAGUUACACAUUUGUCAUGUCUUGUGGAAUGCUAAAACACGAGCAGAAAUGUUUGAACCUUCUUGAAUGAGGCAUGACAUGAGUAGCAGCUAGAAAAACUGAAGACAAAAAUUGAUGCCAUACAUAUAACAGCCACCAACAAUUUAACAAUGAAUUCUCUGUUCUCCGCUUGAUGGUCUCAUAUGUUUUUUUUUUUUCAAAUGAGAUGUAGUACUUUCCAGCCAUAUAUUAGCUUUUAACAUUGAAGGGUAACUCUUUAUUUCUUACUUUCUUCCUUCAAUGCAGGGCCGCUUUCAGAUUCUCACUCUAUCUGGAUCAUUUGUAUAUGAUGCAACGCAAAAUCGACGAGGAAAAAAUGGUAUGUUAAGCGUUGCACUGUGCCAUCCUGAUGGGAAUAUUUUUGGUGGUGCUGUUGCAGGCGCAUUGAUAGCUGCUGAGCCUGUUCAAGUCAGUUUCUUCUUUCUUUUGUUUUCUUCUUCUCUUCUGUUUCUUUUUUUGACUCUGGAAGUAGAAGUGGAAUUGCCAAUGUUGCUCUAAGGACUCUUUCAAGUGACUGAAAUUAUUUGGUCCACAAAGUUAUGACAAAAUGAAUUAGUGAGUACAACAGUAACAGAGUGAAAACCAAAUAUUUGGUAUUGAACUAUAGUCUUUUUCCAAGGUAAUUAAAAGUGCUUGAGGUAAUUGCUCAGUCUCAUUUUGGGUUAUUUCAUUUAUCAGAUCAUUGCUACCAGUUUUCUGCAAGAAACCAGCAGCAACACCAGCAAGGAAUUGAAAAGGAGGCACUCAGCGGAAUCUUCUACCUCGACUAGUAUGCUAGGCAAUUCAUCAUGCUUGGCAAUGGUUCCCUUACUAAUGCCUCCACCAACAAUAGUUCAUGAUGAGAGUUGCAUUUCGCCUACAUCUGCUCUCUUGGAAUUUCCAUCCCAUAGUGGAGCAGGUAACGUCAUUGCUGCAAACCGUAACAUGAACCCUGCUACACUUCCGGGUUUUGAUCAGAAUGCCUUGCAGCCAAUGCCAGAUCCAACAACAUCUCCUCACAUUGACACCUUUAUUCCUUAGAUAUAAAGGUAGCUCUCUCUCUCUCUCUCUCUCUCUCACAAACAUACAAAGACCCGGACAAGAGUAGACUGAUAUGUUUGUUAUCGAACUUCCUUAGGUCUAUGCAGAUUUGGUGACUAGAGUUGAAGUGUUUUAUCCAGUUUGCAAGGCCACAGUGCAAGAUUUCUACCAGUGACUGAGAUAACCGUAAAUGAGAUCUUCGACUUGUUAUUGUUGUAGUUUUGAUGUUGUAACUUAUUGUAGAUUUUGUGCUUUGCUUUUUAUUGAUAAUGUGGACUUGGAGUUGCAUGAAGAUACUGUUAGACUCUUGUGGUAGGAAACAGAAAGGUGCCAGAAAAAAUGCACCAACAUGAGAUCAAAUCUCUGAAUCCAAUUUUUACCUUGAGACUUUUCAAUGAAUAUUGCUGCACCAAAGAUAUUAUUUUUGAGCAGAUGGUGUACACAUUAUAUUAUGCAGAUGUCAACUGACCCAAGAACAGCAUGUGUGUAAAAAGCAAGUACAAAUGAGAAUUGCUGUAAACUGGAAAUUCAUAAUAUUAUGUUCAUAUAAUUUUUACUUUUCACUUGUUUCUUGAACAAUUCUAAAAUUCAGCCAUCUGAUUGAUGGAUCAUAAAACAAUUCAUGGGUGCAAGGGUGAUUAAAAUUUGCUUAAUGUGUUCAUACAUUAGCAAAUAACCGAUAACUCUUGGCAUCGAGGCUUAUUUGUCUUACAGCAGCAAUUGCAGCUAUAACGCCCAAGAUUGAGAAAACCACAGCAAUAGUGGUGUUUAACAAGAAAAUGGGGCUCUUUUUAGAGGGCUUAAAGGUCAAGUUGUAGAACACAACAGGCAAGAUGAAGUCAAGGGGUAUGAAACCAAAAGCCCCAAUAACUGAAUUGAUGUCCCCAAAAAAUGGAAGCAUUGCUGCUAUGGUUGUUGCUACGACGACAGACAGCGAGCGAAAGAUUACCCUCGGGAUCACAUUGCGAGUAGAGAACUCUUUGCUCGUUGGAUCCACAAAUGCUCGUUCAAGCACUUCAUUUGUUGGCUGCAGAUAAACCUGUACCAAAGCAAUGUAGUUUAGACUACUAGUUUUAGUGAGUGUUUGGUUCCAGAAAAAAGAUUGAAAAGAGAUUGAGGUGGUGUUUUUUGAUUUCUUACCACGCCAACAGCUGAUAGUUGGAGUAUGGUGAAAAUGUUGGUCAUGAAAAUGAACCACUUUGGCACCAAAGGUUUGCCAUCAUCCAAGAAGUUGCUAAGUAUGAGGCCUUCAGCUUGGUUACCAAAUGCCCAAUAGCCAGAGAUAGCAACACUGGAAAAAGUCAUUAUAACUACUGCAUAACAAAGACAUAAUCCCUUGAACAUCUUUCCCUUCACUGGUGGUGCUAUUGUUGCCUAUUAACAAAAGUUACAUAAUUAUUAGUUCCUAAAGAAAAAACAAAACCGGUUUUGGUAGCGAUUGGCCGAAAUGGAAAAAACACGGUUUCUCAACUAGAUUUUAGUGCUUCCUAGAGAAGACUUGAUAAUCACUUCUCUAGAAAGUGCAGGUGAAUACACAAUGAGAACUUGGGUUUUUACUAAGAUGUUUUUGUGUGCUUCUAACAAAACCAAUUAAAAACACUUCAUUCAUAAACAAACUCUCCCAAACAGCCCCAUAUAAUACUCGAAUCCAAAAGAAAAUGAAAGCGAAUUCAAGGAUAAUUGGACUAUUUUGAACCUGAAUUUCUGGAAUGAUGCCAUUGCCAAAUGUUGUAGCAAUGAUGGCAUUGGCAUUAAAGACCCCAAAAACACGAUUUUGAGUGUUGCCCUUCAAGGAAUAGUCCUUAUGCGGCCCUUUGGAAGAACUUCCUGACAAAAUAUAAAAUUAUGCUUGCUAAGUUUUCAUCUCGUGGCAGGCAAGAAAAUGCUAUCAUGAGUGAGUAGCUAUUACCAAUGUAGAUGCAAGCAGCAGCGGUACAAACGCUAUAGGCUAAGCAAAGAACAACAGACACCAAGUUGAUGUGCCUCAGUGAGUGAAAAGAUGGAAUUUGUGCCAAAAACAGCAUCAAGCAUCCAAAUAUGAUCACAAACUCGUAAAGCUUCAUAGUCCCAGUUGGGUUUGACAGCAAGUAAACUGCCUGCAAAGAAAAUAAAGCAUAUUAUAAAUAUAUAUAAUAAAAAAAAGUCACAAGCGCUUCAACUAAACAACCGUGACAAAUAGCAUACUGUUGAUAAAAAAUGAAGACAUCUUAGGUACUGUCAAAGAAUUAAAAUCACCCGAUUUAUGUGAUACACAUGAUUUGCCGGUGAUUGCACGUAUCUGAAUUUUACAAUAACCUUUUGUAUGCCAUAAGCGAGUGAGUCGUACAAGUUAAGAGAAAGGAUUACCUUCAUGCAUUGUCCUCCCAAAAGAGGAACUGACUUGGGCCAACAAAAUAGCGACUCCAUCCAGGCCCUGUAGAAUCCAGUACAGUUUCAAUUAAAUAAUGUCAACCUUUUUUAUUAUUAAUUUUAUUUUUAUUAAUUUUUAUUUUUUGAGGACCUUUCCUAUUGAAAGGGGUGAUAGCAUAUUAAACUCACACACACAACACAGAUGCUAGGAUUCGAACUCAAGACCUUGCCUGUUAAAAGAGACAUAAUUCAUCAUAUAAAGCAAAAUACAAGGGAUACUCAAUUAAGACCAUCCUAAACCGGCCUCAACCAUACAUAAAAUCACAAAACAAAAACGUAGUGGAUGCAGUGGUUCUAGGAAUCUUCUUUAUGUCUUUAGUUUCUUAUUUUUAGGUUUUCAUAAUGUGGAAUCGAUUUUGCUCACUAUUUUGUAUAUCAAUGUAUUGUUUGCAAGGACUCCUUUAGGUUUCAAUUUGUUUUCACAAAAUCCCUUUUCUUUGAUUGUUCAUCCAAAAUUGAUGAUUUCAUUUAAAAUACACUUAUGCAAAUGAAAAAAUUAACCUCAAUGAAUGCAUAUGCAAUCUAAUCUCAAAGGAAAAUUUUGUCAUUUAGAGAAAUUUUUUGUAUAAAAUCAUUAAUAUUUGGGCGAAAAAUCAAUGAAAAAAAGUUUUGUGAAAACAAUUUAAAAUCCUAAAGAGUGUUUGUGUAAUUUCUGAAACCUCAGGGAGUUUUGUGAAAAAUUCGAAAACCUCAGGAAGUAAGAGUGUAAAUAACUCUGAAGAUGUUGUAUAGCCAAAAAGGAGAAAUUGACAAGGGCCAUUACAGUCAAUGGCAGACAAGCCACAUUCUUUUUGCAUUCAGGUUUUUUUUUAUAUUUUCUCUCUGACAAUUUAAAAAUGAAAGAAAAGGAUUUCAUACUGAUAUAUAGGUACCUAGAAUGUCAUGAGCCAUGUCUCUGAAUCGGAGAUGGCGAUGACCCAAUUUAGCAUAAUGUUCAAGAACCAAAGAGAGUAAAUUGUAUGAAUAGGUCACGAUUGCUCCGAUGACCAAACAAAAAAUCCCAGCCGCCCAUCCAAGGAAGGUGAAAGCAUACGGCAGACUCAGCAGCGCUGGAGCAACUAUUGAGGUUGUCAAGUGAUAACCGCAGUGCACCCAUGAUCCUAAAUCAUCAAUAUCAAAUUAAUACCAAAUUUGACUAAUUCGCUUCUUCUUUUUAUGCAAAACAAUCUAACUAUAUAAUAUAAACUGCAUGGAUUCAAUUAUAGAUUAUAAUGACACACUCCAGAAGCAAGCAACCAGAUUUUUGUAAUUAUCAUACGGUAAAAAUACUAGUUUUUUUAAAAUCUAACAUAUUUUACACGUGCAUAUGUAUUCUUCUCGUUUAAUAUACAUAUUUUUAAUAUAUUAUUGAUUAAAAUAUUACGGAUAGACUCAGGAUUUGAAAAUGGCAUGACCUAAAUUUUCCUUACAUACAUAUCUAUUGAAAACUCGACGGUACCAAUGAAUUUUAUAAAGACAAAAAAAAAAACAUCGGGGACAUAAUGAGCCUUACUCUUCAAAAUGCUAGUACAUGUAGAUAAAAACAUACUUAAAUAGUUAAAUAUCUAAUAAAAAUUUAGAAAAUGUCAUUAAUUGUAAAUAAGAAAAUAGGCCUUUAUCACAUCUUCAAUCAACAUGAUAACAACUAAUCAAUUUAUCAAAAUUCCUAAUUGACAAUUCAUACAAGCAAGAACACUAAAGUCAAUUUCAAAUUCUAUUUUGCCAUCCUAAGAGAGAGAAAGAGCGAGAAGAUAAGAGAGAGAAAGAGAGAGAAGAAAAGUCAGUCUAGGGGGGUUAAGAUUUUUGUUGAAAUUCUACAUUGUGUGUAGAUUCUACCAUAUUGCCAUUCGACAUGGCACAUGGCCAAAUGGUCUAAACCCAAAAUAUUCCAAAUUAUUGCCCAAAAUCUCUCUCAACCCAAGAAAGUGAAGGGGUUAAAAUUUGAAAAACCCCAAAUUUGGACCCAAAUAUCAGUCUGAGUAUUGUCUGGACCCCAAACUAUUUAGUGGAGCCCAUCAACAAAAAGGCACAGCCCAUGUACAUCAGAAAAACAGUGGAACCCGCGCUGGGCCCAACGCUAGUGGCUUUAUCUGCUAGCUCAUCCCACGUGUCUGCUCCUGGUCAAUUGGCCGUUGCAAUUCAAAUGCCUUUGUUUGUUUGUGUUUUUUAUAUUUAAAAUCAUGCAAGUAACUUCAAAAAGGAGUCUGUUUACUUUUUAAAUCAUGCAAUUCAAUUGGCCGUUGCAAUUCAAUUCUCAUUUUGUGUUUUUUUUUAUGUUGUGUGUUUACUUUUGGAAUAAAAUUAAAUUUAUGGAAUUUCAAUUUUUUUUUUUAAGCCAAAUUGUUCAAAAAAUUAAAUUAUGACGUUAUUUAAAAAGAUAAAUGAAGAAAAGUUUUCCAUAAAAAAAAAUUAUAUUGGACUUAAACCAUUAUUAAACAAUUUAAUAAAGUUGCGGACUUAAAAUUUGAGUCCGGAUGUUUGGAAGAAAAAACAAUUUGAAUCCAGACAAAACCCAAAUAGUCACUUUUUAAAAGAGGAAAAUUUGGAUUUAACCUCUCAUGAGUUGGAGAAGGCCUAAUAAGCUAUAAUAAGCAUAGUUUCUAAAAUAAGAUAAUAAGCUAUAAUAAGCAUAAUUUCUAAAAUAUAAUAAGCAUUGUUUCAGCAAAAAUGUAUAUAAGUUUAUUCGAUACGUCAGAUUGUGAGUGACUACAUGCGGUCAAUAUUUGCUUCUUCAAUAAAAAUAAUAUUAUAACUAUUUUUCACCUCAUUAAUGACGGUUACAAGAUUUGAAAAUCAAGUAGAUAAAAUUUACAUACUAAAUUUGACUGUUUGAGUGAAUUUUAUUAAUAAACAUAGAAACUAAAUAUAUAUGUAUCCAUUGGACACACAUAAGAAUAAUUGAAGUCGGCCAGAAAAAUGAAGUAGGAUUGAUGAUAACCAAAUGGUAAAGGACAAAAUGAGGUAAAAAACAAAUAUGUGAAAGACAUAUCAAUCAACAAGAAGAAGAAGAUGAUGAUGAUGAUGAUGAUGAUGAUGAUGAUGCGAUGAUAAUCAAGAUAAUGAAAAAGAAACAAAAACUAAUUAAAACAAGUUGUAAAUUAAUGAUAUAAAAAGAAAAAAUAUCUCUGAAGGGCGGUCAAUACCUUUGGAUUUAAGAACAAAAAGAGCACCAGCAUCAAGUUGCUUCUCCUGGUCAUGAGCUUCUUCUUGGCCAAUAACCUCUGCCUCCUCUGAGCUUGGUGGCACCGGCAGCGUCCUCAUCUCUCUCUCUCUCUACUGAAAAAGGAAAGAGAGCAAAGAAGUGGGAGAAUCAAUUAUGGAGAUAUUGUGUGUAUAAUUAUAUAUAGCGGACUGGCACUGAGUCAACGAGGUCCCCUUGAUGAUGCACAACUUUUCUUCAUCAUCGUCAUCAACAUAUUAUUAUUAUUAUUUUGGAUGUAAAGUAAAACAAAACAAGUAAAGGUGGCUACGUAUAUACGUCCUCUACUUAACAGUCAAACUUUUGGAGAGAGAGAGAGAAGGGGGACAAGAAGGACCAUAAUGACCCUCCAUACCAUGAUACCAACACGCAUUUAUUGGUUUUUUUAUCGAUUUAAUUUGUAUAUAAAAUUAGUGUGGGCAAAUUAGAUGAUGCUUUCUGAGUUUAGAUCUAUGGUUAUUCUAAUUUUUAAUCUUAAAAUGAUUCCUUAAAUUCUGAUUAGUCAAAAAUGAUUCCUGAAACUUUUAUUAGUGUUUAAAUAUGGUCAUUGACUUGGCGUUUGCUAGUGUUCUUAGUUAAACAUCGUUUUGGGUCUGGGACUAGUUGUUUAUUUUCACUAAUCAGUUAUUCAAUAGAGAUGUGUUCUUCGUAUUAGAGAACAGAAAAAUGAUCAAUAAAUAUAACACAAAUAUAACAUUAUUGUACUUUCGUUUGAGUUUGCAUGAGAAAUAUAGAACACAACUAAGGACUAAUUUGGAUAUAAGGCGGCCAGGGUUACAGUCCGGGGCCCAAAGCUAAGACGGGCACACAAAUUUUUUUAUAGCCCAUAUAUGUGAAUAUUAAAAAUUAAAAAAAUAAAAUAAAAGAGGAACCAAACCUUCAAAUCUAGAAGGAGUCAUUCCUGAUAUGGUGGCAUGUCAGCAUAAAUCACUUUUUGAUAUUCUCAAGAAAACUUCCUUCCUUGGAAAACAAAGUCAAAGAUAUAUUAUAUAUGUAUUGUAUAAUACUACGCGCUUUCGCGCAUGCGAGAGGUUUUUUUUUAAAAAAAAUUUAAAUUUAUUUUAGAAUUAAAAAAGAUAAUGGAUAUUUAUGUUCCAUAAAAAUAGGAUCCAUUAUCUGAAUUUUUUUUAUUUUUAAUUUUUUUAAUACGAAAAAUUGUGAAUUUACCAUAUUAUCCUCAUUUAAUUAAUAAUUUCAAUUCUUAAUGUUUGCAUUAACUAAGGGCAUUUUCUGGUAUUUGAAUGUUUCACCAUUCUCUGCCUUUUGCUUUAUAUAUAUAGAUAUAACAAAAGAAAAACAAAAUAUAGGGAAAUUAAACAAAGAUAAACCAACAUGCCGCCUUCUUUUUUUAAUCAAAAAGCAAAAAGGCACUCGAACACAACACAAGAAGACUCUCAAAUGCAAGCAAAUUUUUAUUUUUAUUUUUUGUGUUUCUCUUCUUCUCCAACAGCAAGUUGGAAAACAAUCCUCCACAAGACCAAACUAGUACCUUUCUUUCAAGAUUUUUAUUUAUUUAUCAGAUCUUUCAAGAUUCUUAUUUUUUUAAUAAGAAAAAAUAAAUGCAAGAAGGAGAAAAUAGGAAGAUGCAUAAUUUAACAAAGUUCCUCAUCACACUGUCAGCGUAACUAGAUUACGUCUGACAACUUCACAACCCAAAGCCUUUUCACCCACACAAAGAACAAAUCGAUAAGGAAAUAAUACAAACUCCCUUUCUAUAUAUACAAAAGAGAGCUUUCUCUCUUACCAAAACGUGGUAGGUAUUCCGACCCCAAAAAAAACGUGGUGGGUAUACCAAUUCUUCUACUCAUAUUUGCAAAACAAGAGGCUUAUACAUGACGAUAACAAAACCCUAUAGGCACAUGGCUCUAUGGCUCUCACAUGACCAUUUAAAAGAAAAUGUAUGACUUCAUAUUGGACUCACACAUUUAGGCAAACUCAAUAGAAAUCAAGCCAAUAAUGAAUCCAAUGCUCUUUGAAAUUUCGGUCAAAUCCUACUUUGCCUCCUCAAACUCAAAAUAGUCCACUUUCAUCCUUUAACCGAGGUUUGGUGACCCACUUAACCUCCACCAUCAACUACAUCCAAAAGUUUAUUAAUUUUGAUGACGUGACAAAGGUGUUUUUGUAAUUUCAUAUACAUAAAUCAUUAUCCACUAAUUGAGUGGAUGGCAUGGCAAGUGGAGCCCAAUUUUUUAAUGACAUGGAUUCCAUGUAGACAAAAUAAAUAAUAAAUAAUUCUUCAAUUAGAAAAAUAAACCAUGUGGAUUCUAUGUGGACAAAAUAAACCAUCUAUUAUGAUGCAGAAUUAUAUAGAAAGGGAUUCUGAUCUUUUUAGCUGUAGAUCUCAGAGAAGUCUUUCUGCUAAUGACCUGCUUUCAUUUAAUUCUCAAUCAACUCUCUUGUGAUAGUUGAAAUUGUUGACUUUUCAAAGUCAGGUAGUCACGUGGGUUCUAAGAAUAGGUUUUCCAAAAAAAUUUGCUGACUUUGUACUCUGGGUUUUGAGAUCAAUGGUGAGCAUUUAGAAGCUGGGCCUAAUCCAAUUCCUCUUUAGAUUUUUAUUAAUCUGCUUUAGUGGUCAAUUGCCAUUUGAUUUGGAGUUUUUUACAACUCUGUCAUUUCGUAAAAUACAUGGGCUUCUGGAUUUGGGCUCUCUUUUCUUUGGAAUCAAAGCCCAGUCCUUUGUUCUUUUCUGUUUUUGUGGGCCUUUCUUUGCAAAGAUGGGCUUGCGCGAGGAUUUCUUUUUUGGCCCAAACAUCUUUUGCUAGUCCUCGAGCAAAAGAAGAAGUUAAUCUAUUUCACUUUCGUAGGGAAUCACGAUGGCAUUUAGCAUGUGUCACAAGCCUUUAAACCCUUAGGUGUCCUUAGUAGGAGGAGUUGUGUCUCCUGAGAAUUUACCAGUUACGAUAUCCACAAACUAAUGUAUGCGGAAACCACUAUCUCAAGACUAAAAUUAUGUCAUUCAAGUAAAUGCACCACGUGUGAAGUGUAAAGCCAAUCCUCAAAAUAUAUUGGCUUAAAGACAAUCAUCCCUCAAUGUCAAAGAUAGAAUUUGUCUCAAUUCUAGGCCUCAAAAGGAAUCACUCUUAUUUUCACACAGAACCUAGGUUUACACUCUUAUCAAGCAUAUGCGAAUAGAGUUUAUGUAUAGGGAAGCAAGAUUUAUAGUAUAUGUAUUUAAGAAAUAAAAGCUCAAUUUCUGGAAAUAGACCUCAUGAAAAGAAUUAAAUACUAAGAACGUAGGUACAUACCAUCACCUCCAAGAGCAAGAUGUUCCAAAAGAUCCGUUAGGUCUUUACUAAGGUUGUAACGUAAGGCUUGGCUAUGGGUUAUACAAGAAAGGGAAGGAAAGACUAGAACUUGAGACAUGCCAAGGCUUCUACAAGCAAAUUCUCGAAAUAUAUGGUUGGCCCUUCUCUUUGAAUUUGGUGAUUGGCGCCCAUUAUUUUGUGCUUUUCCUCUACUACACGUGGAAUGAUUUCGAACUUUUGAUCUUUUGAAUUGCAUACUUCUUUAUCAGCCCAAUUUUAAGGCUCUUUUGAUUUUUUUUUCUUUGAAUAAUAAUAAUUUUUCAAACACUUGCAAUUUAGCAUUUUUACCUCGGUACACACCACUUCUUUCGUAGAAAGGUCAACCUCUCAACUUUAUCUUCAUCACCAUCAAGCUAUAGGGUAUAUGGCUUAGAAUCGGUUUAAAUGGGUAAGGAUUGAUGUGGGUGAUGAAAGAAAAGGUAAAUUGUUUAGCUUCAAGAAAGGGUAAACGGUGCACACAAAAGGUAUGGAUUAAGGCAUUUUAGUGGUGAAAUAUGUCUAACAUCAUCACUUAAGGUCUACCCAACUUGAAAGCAACGCACCUACACAAAGUGAGAAAGUUCUUUAGUAUCUAAUGCAAAUCCUAAUGAGAUCUUCUAAUGAAGAACGAAAUUGAAGUGUUUAAAAGUAGAAACAAUAUAACCCUCUCAAAGAAUGGCUUAAAGCUCAUAUAGCUCUCAAGGGUAGUCUCCACUAUUCUUCCCCAAUCAUUUGGGUAUGGUACUUUGUCCACCAAAACAUAAAGAGCAUGGCAAUGUGAGUGCAAUAGAUUAUGAUGCAAAAACCUUCGUGGCAACCAUUUAGUAAAGAAUUAGUGAUCAAAGCAUAGCAUAUAUGUCUCUAUUAGUAAGCAAAAGUAGUAUCUUAAAUUAAAAAACAAAGGUUUCAAAAAUUGCAAAAUUUCAACUUUGAUCAACGUCCAGUUUUUAGUGAAAAUUUUGAAAAAUAAUUCGUAGAUUUUGACCAAUUCUAUAUUCCCAGAAAAUAAACAUAAAAUUACACAACUUUCAUUUAUACAAAUUCCCGAAAUUCGUUUUGGAAAAUUGUGAAAACAGACAUCUAAAACAAAACAUGUGCAGAAUCGUAUGGCAGACUUUCCAGUUUUGACCCCUAAGUGCAAAUAUGAUCAUAACUUCCAAAUGAAAAAUCAGAUUUUUAAGCUUUGGAUAUGACUGGAUUCAGCAUGAAAAAUUGUAGAAGACAGCCAGGGCCAAAUCUUCAGAUUGAUUACCAGGAAAAACAGUUUUAACCAAACAUAAACCUUAUGUUUUCUUAAACAGAAAAAAAACACAUAACGAAAAACGAAAUACACUAAAACGAACAAAAACACACAAAAAGUUCAAUUUCACACCCCUAAACCUAAACUAAAUAUUGUCCUCAAUAUUUAAAGCAAAGAUAGAAUGCACUCAAUGGUUAGGAUAAGCAUGGUAUGCAUGAAAUCGAAACACAACAAACAAAAAGAUAAAACAAAAAACAGAAAGCAUGAAACGAAGUUACUUAGGUGGGUUGCCUCCCACCAAGCAUUUUAUUUAACGUCUAUGCAAGACGGAGGGCAUUAUCUAUGGCUCGACAAAUUCUACCGAAUCCACAACGCCCGAGGGGUCUUCCAAGUAAAGUUUGAAUCGAGGCCCAUUGAGUUUAAACUUAUACCCAUUCCGCAAGUUCUCAAUUUCAAUUGCACCAUGAGGAGACACUUGCGUCACUUUGAAUGGACCCGUCCAUUUUGAUCUCAGUUUUCCUGGCACAAAUAUGGAGUUAUCACUAGGCAUAUGUCAUUGACGGGACUAGUUGACGGCUGUUUGGGGUUCUUGUUUUUGAGAAGAAGGUCGGAGGAUAGGGCGGGUCGAGAGAGAGAGAGAGAGAGAGAGGGAGAGAGAGAGAGAGAGAGAGAGAGAGAGAAUGGGGAUUUUUUUCUUUCUGUUUUUAAAAUUUUUAAUUUUAUAAUAUUUUUAUAAAAUUGUUUAAUGUAGUUUUUAAUGUUUUUAUUUUAAAUUAUUAGAAUAUUUAAUUAUGUGGAGGUGGGCUCCACUUGCCACGUCACUCACUUAAUUAGUGGAUAAUGAUUCAUGUGUAUGAAAUUGCAAAAACACUCAUACCACGUCAUGAAAGUUAACAUACUUUUGGAUUGACGGCAGAGAAUAAAGUGGGUCACCAAACCUUGGUCAAGAGAUAAACGUAGGCCAUUUUGAGUUUUUGGGGAAGAGAGGGGCAAGUGGGAUUUGAUCGAAGUUUCAGGGACAUUGGUGUAAUUAAGCCUAUUUAAAAUUAUAUAAUUAGUUUAGUGUAAAUGCAAUAUAAUAUGAAAGGUAAAAUUUGCUCAUAAAUAUUGUUUGCUAGUCCCUUUUUAUAUAUAUAUAUAUAUAUAUAUAUAGAAAGAAACGAUAAUUAUAUUCAUAAAUUAGGUACGAAGACCAUAAGUCACAAGGGCUAGUACAAAUCCAGAUACAUAGAAACACAUCGGCAACAUCAAGCGGACAAGGUAUAUCUUCACUAAUAGCCUCAUAAGUCCAAAGAAAUUUUGUUAUAAAAGCCGCAAGCCUGAACAAGCCAAACAUUAACCACAAUGCCUAAAACUACCAAUACAACUACAACUUUUAAACUCUCAUAAGUAGAAACUACAAGUAGAUAUUAGACUACAAACAAACACCCAAAUCACAAAGAGGGUGCAAUUAUUACAACUCAAGAAAUUGUAAUGUCACAGCCCACUCCCUAUAUUGUCCGCUUUGGGGCCCGCCCACAUGGAUUUGUUCUUAAGCUUAUCCUAUCUUGCUCAAAAUGCGUCUUACUAGGUAAGAUGCCAACUGCUCUUAUAAGGCACUUCACAUUCCCAACACCACCCCCCCGGGAGCGAUGUAGGAUUGUUCACCGAUCUUGCUUCUUACAAAGCGCACGAGUCUUACAACACACCACCUUUGAGGCCCAGCAUCCUCACUGGCACACUUCUAGUCAAGGUCCAGCUUUGAUACCAAAUUGUCAGAGCCCACUCCCUGUAGCAAGAUAAUGUUCGAUUUGGGCUCCGUCCGUACAAAUUUAUUUUUGGGCUCAAGCUUAUCCUAUCUUGAGAUGGCAACUUCUCUUAUACGAAAAUUCAGCUUUCCCUCCCCGAGCGAUGUGAGAUUGUUCAUCGAUCUUGCUUCUUACUAAGCUCUCGAGUCUUACAUGUAAACACCCAACUCACCAAAGAUUCCAAGGACAACAAAACCACAAAAAUCGCCAACGAAAUCACCAGCGCAACCAAGUGGAAAAUCCAGCCAAAAAACUAGUAAACAACCCCAAGAGAGAAGGGAGGAAUGAGGAGGGAGAGGAGGGAAAAGGGUAGAGAAGUAGAGGGGAGAUGGGAGGAGAGGAGUGGGGAAGGAGGCUACCCCCCAAAAGGGGUCGACGGUUGAAGCUAAGUUCCUGAGGGUUUUUUAUUUCUUUCUCAUGUACGUAACUUAUGUAUUGGUUGUGAAGGUUUGCUAGUAUUUAGCGAAAAGAAAUGAUUUUUAGAGAUAGGUUUUGGGGACUACAAAUAACCUAUUUCCUCUACAUUUGACACAGCAAAUAUAAAGGAAAUAGAUUUCUCUCUUAAGAUUUUUUGCACAUUACUCUAAUUAAUACAUGCUGACAAGAGCACAGUCGGUCCUAAGAACUAGGAGGCCCUAUGAGAAAUAAAUAUUGAUGCCCCUUUUAUAUAGAAAGAAAUUGAAUUGUAACCAAUAAAAAUGAAAUAUUCGUUCACAUUUUAUUUUAUAUUAAAAUUAUUAAAAUAGAGGUUGGAUCCAAUGCCAAGAAUAAAAGAUAAUGUUCAUUGUGGCGUAAUUUUAUAGUGAGGGUGUCAUAUGUGGACCCUUCAUGUGGACUUUCAUAUUAGCCACAUGAUUAUUUCAUUAAACUUAAGUGAAGUUACUAUCCAGAUGAAUCAUGUGUGGCUAAUAUAAAGGUCUACAUCCAUAGUUUAUAUAUGGCACCCUCACCAUAAAACGAUUCAUCCAUUGUGUUCAAAAAAUUAAACAGAGCAAAGAUGGAAAGCCCAAAAAUACCAGUCGAGUACCUUGCAAAAGACCUUUUUGGCUCUCAUUUGUUGGGCUUACUCAUCUCUAACAUGCCCUUUAUUUUUUGGGGCUGGCAUAAGCUCUGGGCUAUGCCUAAAUAGAAUUGUACGCAUUAGAUGUGUAUGUGCACUGUUUUGCUUGAGUAAAAUCUUAAUUAAUUAACCCACAUCACUGCAAUAAAUGAAGAACCUAUUUUUCUGAAUUUGACCAAAACAUGUGUUUCAAUAAUAUUUAAAUAAUCUACCCAAGCAUAUUGCAAGCAAAAACAUACUGUUUGAACAAAAAUUGGAAACCACAUGCUUACCAGAUGACAUGCUUACUAACCUCAAGCAUAGUGACUAGUUAUGAGAGGAGUUCCAGACAAUGGUUCAUUUCAAUGUUGGAAGUGUGGAUUAUUAAGUUCCAGAAGAUAAUACUUUUGAAUAUUGGAUCUUGAAGAAUAUAUAUAUAUAUAUAACCAUAUGGUUUAAAAUCUUCAACGGCCAUCAUCUAGGAGAUCAGGGACAGUGGUAAGUUGUUUUAGUCAAAUAAUCAGUAUGACCUUUAUCAUUAUGGUAUUGUUAUGUCUUUCAUAAAUUGCAAGAAGGAGUGAAUCCUUUAGCUCCAAGUAUACCAUUUCACCAUGUUGAUCUAGUAUAUUUGUUCUGCUCCUUUCUGGUGACAAGUGUUAUACAGUAGUCGCUAACCAGGCUUGAAAUAUGCCAUCAGAAUGUGAUAAGUGGGGUUGGAAGCAUGUUACUGUGUUUGGUAGGUUUGAUAAAGGAAGUGGUACCAAAAAGUGGAAAUGCAACCACUGUAACCUACGUUAUAAUGGAUCCUGUUCUCGAGUUAGAGCACACCUACUUGAGUUCUCCGGUGUUGGGGUGAAAAGCUACCCAACAAUAGAUAGGUCUUUAAGAGAAACCUUUCACACCUUAGAGGAUGAGCGCCUAGCUCGUAAGAAGAAAAAGAACUUCUGGAUGUGCACAGUGUUGGAAAAUUUAGUAUUAACUAAAUUUAAUUUUUCCUAUUUGAAUGGAAAUUAAUAAAAUUCUUUGGGUUAAAGACAUGACUCUUGGGUUAAAGACAUCUUCACAUGAGGGGUGACAACUCUUCAAAUCAAGGGAUGCAUUGUUUGGGGUGACAACUCUUCAGACCAAGGGAUGCAUUGUUUGCCUUUUCAGAUUGAGAUACCUUUUUAGAAAGGGUAUUUCAUCAUCUAUAAAUAGAGCAAUCCUCCUAUAGUUUUAUUCAUUCAGUUUAUUCUUUACAUACAGACUUUCACAUAUAGAAAACAUUAGAGUUUUCAUAAAGAGAGGUUCCUACAUAAUUUGGUUCAAAGUUCCUUGUGAAUUGCAGUGCUUCUUUCACAAGGAGGGGAGUCGUUGUAUCCUGGGAGGCGAAUGCUAGUGAACCAUAAGUACUGUUGUGGGGCGUAAUUCGUCUUAAGGUCAGAGUGUCCAACACUUGCCUCGAGUCAAUUAAUGUUCUUUUAAUUCAAUUAUGCUAUUGUGAAAAUCUGUUUUGUUUGUAAUGUUUAUUUAUUUAUUUUAUAGCAAUUUAGCACUCAUAUUUCCAACAAUCUUAAGACGAAUUAAUCUAUGUUAUUGCUAUAUAUAUAUAAUCUGUGUGUUACGCGAAAUGAUGUAUAUUCAGUAUACAUAAUAGCACAAUUGAUAUAACUUUCAAAUUGACUUUGAGGAUGAGGGCAUGUGGUCACAUCUCGUUGAACAAGUUAAUUGUUUGUUUUGUUAACCGUUGCAUCUAUUUCAAUUAAGUUGGUAAAUUCAUGGUCAAAUUGAGAUAGCCAUGCCUUGAAUCAAGUGGGUUGAAAUUUUUUUACAAUCUAAAAAUUAUGUAUGCAUGUUGGACCAUUUCCUGUCUAUAUAAAAUGAAGCCAUUGUGUAUGGACGUGAUCCAACUAGAAAUUUGAUUUUCAGUUUCUAACGGUCAUAGGCUGUUAAAUCCAUUUGUUGGGCUUCUGGCUGUUCAUAUAAAUUUUGCAUUCAUAAAUGAUGCAUGGAUUCUGCAAAUCAAAUACAUUAAGAGGCAUAUAGUGCUUGUUUCUAGUUACUUAUAUAAACGUAUGUAUAUGAACCAUUGGGUUGACAUCGAGAUAUGCAAUUGAUAUAUUGGAUUGCAUAUAGAAAGAUUGUGAAUAUGUGGUUUUGCAAAUUUUCCUAAAGAGGGAAAACAUGUCAGUGUAUUAUCUAUAUUUGACAAACACAAUUGACGAAUACUUCCAAGAAGAGAAGUAGUGUUGAAAUGACCAGAAACAUGGUAUAUUUCUCUGUCCUACAAAGACAACAAUUGAAAUGUGGGGAUAAAGCCCUAUUUUGUAGAAAUAAGUUUCUAAUUAUGAGGCUUCAAACUACAAUGGUCUGUAUGAAAGGGAAAAUUUCCAUUACAAGGAAAUGAUGAGUAAAGUGGCUUCGAAAUUUCCUAAAGGAUAUUCAUAUGUGUAACAAAAUUACACAAAUGAUGAGAAUCCGAAAAUGUGGAGGUCUAUUGCAAAAUUGCACUAGACGUAAUAUGCAAAGUUCUUAAGGUAUGAAAUUUCAUUGGUAGUUUAGUAGCAACCACAAUUGUAAGAGAAUUGUGGGGGUGGCUUAACUAUCUUUGUAAUCUCAUAUUUGUGUAAGAAUGGAAAAGUAAUUUGCUUUUUAAAAGAGACGAGUAAUGUUUAUUUUAAGGUAUAAAAAGGUUGAAGACCCUACAAAUACCUUAAAUGUGAGGGAAGUCCACUGAAGAGUUGGCAAAUUACUUAGUAAGUCCCAACAAAACACAUGGAGGAUUUUUCUUUAAAACAACUAGUCUCGAAUGAAUAUAAUUUCGUAAGAUGGAAUGUGCACACCAUCAGUUCAUAGUCAACCUAGUGGAUCCAAUAUUUAAAGGUAAGACUAGAUAGUUAGUUUGAUCAUUGAGGAGAAUGGGAGUAAAAGCCUAAAUAUUUAAAGUCUCCAUAGUGGAUACCCAACCUAGCUGACUAGAGAUCCCAAGAUCUAGGUUCAAAAGGGACAACCAAAUUAUGGAUGACUAAGUAGUCGCACUGCCGAGAUUACAUCUCCUACCCAUAUCCUAUGAUGAAACAGUGCUGCCUGUAGCAUGUUUUAGGGUAAUCUUUGAUUUUAAUAAUUCCUAUAGCUUGGAAAUCCGAGUGGGGUAGUGCAGGAUACUCUUAAUAGGAAGUCACCUAUGUGAGUGUGAAAUGAGGCCUUUUUUAUGAGAAUUUUUUAAGGCUUGAAUUCUCUAAAGCUCUCACGAAUACCAGGAAUCGCUCAGGGACAAAAUGAGCAUAACCGAUCGAACCAAAUAUGUUUAGAAGGGUAUUGUGUGAGUGCUAUUGUCUGGGUUUACACAAACGGCUGAACAGUUCAAGACAUCACAUUCACUGAUUAGCCAAGUAAAUCCGAUAGUAUUCCGCUAUGGAAGGUUCAAGGCCAAAAGCUACCUGUCCAAAUGCAGUAUUCUUCUAAUAGGGACUCUCUCUAGUGUCUUUAUUUUUUGUUUGCAUGUUGUUAAGUCAAUUUCCAUUCAUGUGGGGGAUUGUUGGAAAAUUUAAUAUUAACUAAAUUUAAUUUUCCUAUUUGAAUGGAAAUUAAUAAAAUUCUUUGGGUUAAAGACAUGACUCUUGGGUUAAAGACAUCUUCACAUGAGGGGUGACAACUCUUCAAACCAAGGGAUGCAUUGUUUGCCUUUUCAUAUUGAGAUACCUUUUUAGAAAUGAUAUUUCAUCAUCUAUAAAUAGAGCAAUCCUCCUGCAAUUUUAUUCAUUCAGUUUAAUUCUCUACAUACAGACUUUCACAUAUAGAAAGCAUUAGAGUUUUCAUAAAGAGAGGUUCCUACAUAAUUUGGUUCCAAGUUCCUUCUGAAUUGCAGUGCUUCUUUCACAAGGAGGGGAGUCGUUGUAUCCUGGGAGGCGAACGCUAGUGAACCAUAAGCACCGUUGUGGUAAUUCGUCUUAAGGUCAGAGUGUUCAACACUUGCCUCGACUCAAUUAAGAUUCUUUUAAUUCAAUUCUGCUAUUGUGAAAUCUGUUUUGUUUAUAGUGUUUAUUUAUUUAUUUUAUAUAGCACUCAUAUUUCCAACACAAAGCCUAUAAAGCGCAUUAAGACUUUACGACCAAGUCUUUGUGUCACUAAAGAAGAUAUAGAUUAAAUAGUAGCUAGAUUAUCAUGACAGGGCAAAGACAAUUGCUCCUUUUAGCCCUGGGUAUGAACCCCUCUCAAUAGAUGAGCUUUUUGAUUCUUUCUUAAUUAGAGAGAAGGGAAGGAUAGAGAAAUCUUUGGCUCUACUUAGGGAGUCCUGCCCUCACACCGGAUGCACAAUAUUGUGUUUUGGUUGCUUAGCAUGCUAGGCUGCUUCCACAUUAAUAUAUUCAUCUCUAAUCUGAGAUGACUUAUGUUUUUGAAAGCAGUAGACAUAGGUGAUACUGAUGGAGCAGACAACGUAUUUGUAAGUGUUAUUGAUGAUACUGUUAUGGAAGUUGGGCCCAGCAAUGUGCUUAAGAUAAUCUCUCAUCUAGGCAAUGCUGGCAAAUUAUCUGAUUCCAUUAUGUUGUCAAAGUUUCCUCAUAUAUUUUGGUCUCCUUGCACUUCACACUUUAUAUGCAAGUAGAUGGAAGAAAUAGCUGAAAUGGACUUCUUAAAACCUGUUGUCUUAUGUGCUAAGGAAAUUGAGCAAUGCAUUAUGGCAUAUCAGCACUUUUUUUUUUUUUUGGUUACAAGGAGGGCCUAAGCCCGACAAAAACACAAAGGAGAACUACACUGGGACAAGCCUCGCAGUGGUUCCCCUAGAAGAGUCAUUAGCCAAGAGGCUAACAAUAGAAGGAGGAGGAAGAUCAAUAACAUGAAAACCCAAACUGGAAUUUUGACCCAAGUGAGCCAUAUGGUCCGCAGCAGAGUUUUGCUCUCUAUAGAUGUGAUAGAUGGUGCACUCCCAGUCACGCAAGAGCAAGUCUUUGCAGCAAUGGAUGAUGCUAGAAAGGGGGUGGUUAGUUCCAGUUUCUCCAUUAAUAAGAGAGACAGCAGUGAGGGAGUCACAUUCCAUCUGAAUUCUUCGGAUACCUUCGUUCCACGUGAGGAGCAGGCCUCUGAAGACUCCCCAAAGCUCCGCUUCUAGGAUACUGCCACAUCCCAGCUUCGUAACAAAUCCCUUGACCCAAACACCAGCAUCGUUCCUUAUGAUGCCACCAGCACUAAUAGCGCCCAACUCACCCAUACAACUGCCAUCCACGUUAAUCUUAAACCAGCCAGCACAGGGAGGAGACCAAUGAAGUUUAAGAACAUGUUUAGGAAGCUUGGAGUUCCUGGAUCUGUUAGCCACCAGCCAUUCACGGGAGAAAUGGAUGAUCGGAAUGUGGGGCCAGGGAGGAGGAGAGAAGUUGAGAUCAAAAACUUUCUUACAGCGCCAUUUCCAGCAGAACCAUAGGGCAGCCAAAAACAGGGAGGACCAAGGGAUACCCUGCAUGCAGCUGAAACUAGCUUUAAUAUUGGUGAAGAGCCAGUCCUUAAAAUCCAUAGAGAAGGAGUGAGCAACUUGAUUGGGAAUGCCAAUGGAGUUCCACAUUUUAGUCGCAUGCCUGCACCUGCGAAAGAGAUGAUCCAAGGACUCCAUGGAGCCGUUGCAGCAAGGGCAGUUGGAGUUGGAAGCUAAGUUUCUUCUCACACGUUGGACAUUGGUUAGGAGCUUACCCUGAAUCAACAGCCAGAGAAAGGUUUUGAUCUUGGGGGGGACCUGCAGCUUCCAAAUCAUAUCCCAAUUCCAAGUAUAGUUGGUCUCCUCAGUAAACAAGGAGAGGUAAGCCGUUUUCACAGAAAAUUCACCAUUGGAGGUGAGCUGCCAUAUACAAGAGUCCGCCUCAGUGUGAUUAAACCCUGCAAAAAUGCAAUGAAUUUUUUGCACCACAUGCAAGGGGAGGCAGCCCAUAAGCCAGUCUGUGUUCCAACCUUGCUCCGUGAGAAAAUCACUCACGGUCCAAUCCAGCAUAUCAGCAGUAAGGGGGACUGUGGUGAAGUUCUCCAGAGGACCACAGCCAGCCCAAUUAUCCUUCCAAAACAAGAUAUUGUCACCAUUCCCAACUCUCCAUUUAAGACCUUUGGAGGCGAGUUGAGUCCCAAAAAGAAUACCUCGCCAAGUACUAGAGCAAUUUAGGAAUUUAAGAUUAGGCGCAGCAAGCAAACUUUGGUCUUUUAGGUACUUGCCAUUGAGAACUUGGGACCAAAGGCCCUGCUUAUUUUGAAUAAGUUUCCAACCAGUCUUGGCAAGAAGGGCCUGGUUCAUAAAAUGGGUCUUUUUUAGACCUAGCCCACCACAGCUCUUAGGAUGGCAAACAGUGUCCCAGUUGACAAGGUGGAUUUUAGUUUGGUCACCGGUAUAACCCCACAAGAAAUCCCUGUUAAUCUUAUCAAGCUGGUUACAAGUAGAUAUAGGAAGCUCAACCGAUUACAUCGUAUAGAUUGGAAUAGCAGAGGUGACAGCUUGCAAGUAAGUGAGUCUUCCUGCCAUAGAUAAAGUGUGGCUCUUCCAGGAGGCUAAUCUGCGCUGCACUUUGUCAACAAUCCCAAAGUAAGUAUCCUUGGUAAUUCUAGAUUGGAUCAAGGGAACACCAAGAUAAUUCCCAAGGCAAUCCGUGAGGGGAGACCCGCAAAUAUUGGCUAUAGAAGCAGCAAUUCCAGGUUCAGUAUUAGGGGAACAACAGAUUCUAGAUUUCUCAAAGCUGACUUGCUGACCCGAGGCACCACAAAAGAGGUCCAAGCAAUGCUUCAUAAGCUUAGCUUGGGGGAUAGAGGCUUCCCCGAAUAAAAUGAGGUCAUCGGCAAAGAAAAGGUGGGAUAUAGCAGGGCCAUUUCUAGCAACCUUAACAGGUUUCCAGGUUCCAGAGGAGAUAUGAUCAAUGAUAAUAUGGGAAAGUUUUUCCAUACAUAGGACAAAAAUGUAAGGGGAGAGGGGGUCACCUUGUCUGAUCCCAGCAUUCGGAGAGAACCUUCCAGUAAGCUCACCAUUGAGAAUGACUUGGUAUCUGACCGACUUGAUGCACUGCAUGAUAAGAACCAGGAGUUUGCCUCUAAUACCAAUUUCCCAUAGCACAUCAUAGAUGAAAUCCCAGUUAAUCCUGUCAUAGGCUUUGGAGAGGUCAAUUUUCCAAGCAAUGAACCCCUUCUUGCCUUUAGAAUUUCUGAAUUUAUGAAGGACCUCUUGGGCAACGAUAAUGUUGUCAACAAUCUGCCUGCCAGGGAUGAAGCUAGCUUGCGCAGGACUGACAAUCUUUUGCAUGAGAGGCCUGAGCUUCUGAACAAUGAUCUUAGACACCACUUUGUACAACGUAUUGCAAAGGCUGAUAGGCCUUAACUGGGCAACAGAGCUAGGACUAGCCACUUUAGGAACAAGGGUAAUCAGCGUGUCAUUAAGAUCAUCCGGGAUGCUUGCAGAGCAGAAACAACCAGCAACUAACUCAACAAAGGUUCCCUGACAAAGAUCCCAAAAAUCAUGGUAGAACUUAGCAGGGUAUCCAUCCGGGCCUGGAGCUUUAAGAUUGCCAAUACUGAACAAACAAUCCUUAAUGAUUUGAGGAUUAACGUCACAAUUGAGGGUCGUCAACUCAGAGUUCUCCAAGCUAGGAAAAAGCUGGGGAGAUCAGCAUUAGAGUAUCUCAUCGUUUGGGCAGCAAAGAGAUUCUUGAAGUAGUUGACAAUGAUAGACUCCAUUUCAUUUUUAUCGUUAGUCCACGUACCUUGAGCAUUAGUGAGGCCCUCCAGCUUGUUCCUUCUUCUGCGAAUAAUGGUAGACAGGUGGAAAAACUUGGUAUUACGGUCCCCUUCUUUAAGCCAAGUGUUCCUUGACUUCUGUAACCAAAAAAGUUCUUCUUGGUCAAGCAAGGCUUGGUAUUCAUUGGUGAGCUCUUUUUCCAAGUCAGCCAGAAAAGGGGAGUGUCUUCUGCAGAGGGCUUUUUGAAUCCCGCCAAUUCGAGCCAGCAGCUUCUUCUUGUUUCGAAAUAAACUCCCAAACACUUCCAUGUUCCAAGUAGUGAGAGCAUAGGAAAGGGCUUGAGUUUUUUGGAGGAUACUUCCAGUAAAGUUAGCCCAUUUAUCAACCACAAAGCUGCGAAAGGUAGGGUGCAGGAGCCACAUGGCUUGGAACCUGAAAGGUUUGGCAGUAGCACAGGGGAGGUGAGCAGACUGGAGGCUAAUGAGUAGGGGGCAAUGGUCAGACUUGACUCUAGGGAGGUGUCUGACAAAGGCCUCGGGAAAUUGAUGUCUCCAGUUAAUGUUGGACAGACCGCGAUCCAAUCUUUCCCAAGUGAGGACACCAUUCUCAUUUUUCCUGCACCAAGUAAACUGAGCACCAAUAAAACCAAGAUCAAUCAAAUUGUUUCUAUCAAUCCAAUCCACAAGGCCACUCCCAUGAGAAAUGGGAUUACCACCACAUUUUUCAGAAUUGUCAACCAACUCAUUGAAGUCACCAGCAAUCAUCCAAGGGAGGUUAGUGGCCGAAGCAAUCCCAUCUAAAUAACUCCAAAGAUUUUUACGGAUGCCAGGGCAAGGGUGCGCAUAGACUGCCGUAAAAAGCCAAUCAAUAUGGUUCAUUUUAAUGAGAGCUGUUAUAGACUGCCUAGAAUAGGCAACAAUAUCAACACAGGAGACAUGCUCAUUCCAGAGCAUCCAAAUACCCCCUGAAAAUCCAUUAGCAUCAACAACAUGGAAUUUCGAAAACCCAAGCUUCUUAAUAACAUUGAGGGCAGUGUUGCCACUAAUUCUAGGCUCCAAAAUGAAAAAGAAUAUCAAUCUUGUGAAUUUUAACUAGAUCUUUCAUAAUACCAGGGAAAUUUGUACUCCCUGCGCCUCUUACAUUCCAGACCAUAAUCAUGAUGAUGGGGAAGGAAGGUGGCAGCAAGAACCUGAGGAAAAACCUCACUGACUGGAAGCGUUCAGCACUUCUACCAAAGUAGAAGCAGCACCAACAACUCCAUUCUUAACAUCUAGCAUAGCUUUUUUCAGUCUAGCAGCAUCCAAAUUAAUAGUAAUCUGAGGGGCAGAGUUUUCUCCAUGGUCAUCAUCCAUCUUAUCUCCUGGGAUAUCCUCCAACUUAUCUUCAGUCGGACCAGGAUCAGGCGGCUCAACCCCAGCUAAAAUAGGAGGCGGAGAUUUACCAGCGUUGGGGAGCUUAGAUUUCAAGCUUGCCACAACGUCUCCCAGGGUGGCUUCAUGGAAGUCAAUACUUCUAACUUGGAAGCCCGAAGAUUUACCAGCCGCGGCACCUUUAAGUUUCCUUUUAGGUUCAGAACGGGACUCGGGGCCAACUUUGGUAGUGGAGGCACAAGAUAUAUUAUUUUCAAUACCCAUCUGGGGCUUAUCAACAACACCAUCGUUUGAGAUAUCUCCUAGGGCUUGGCGAGCUUUACCUUUCAACUUAGACCGACCCUUAGCCUUGGAAGGUUUAGCAGGCCCAGCAUUUGUCUCAGUUUGUAUUUGGGACACCUCCUCAACAACAACAUUCCCAAUAGCAGCAUGAGAAUCAACUCUGUUUUUAUCAUUAUCCAAGGCUUCAAAUCUUGAUCCAGCAGGGGAAGCACCACGGUCAACAUUAGGCUCCUUAAGCUUGGGGGCAAGCAUCUUGGCCUUCAGGUCAGCAUUUGCCUUAAAGGGCUUUUUACCCUUCCUAUUCUGGACCAGGCUCCAAGGUCCUAUUAAAGUACCUGAAGACUCGUGGGGGUCAUCCUGAGGCAUGGCAUCAGUGCUGGCCUUAUUGACAGGGAGGGGAGAGGCGCUCGGUGUCCCUUCAUCCAUGGGUUGGGUGGUAUUCUGAACAUUCUCAGUAUGCGGUUUUUUAAUCACUGAGGGGCAAACGUUUCUGUUGUGGCCAUAGCACCCACAGGCAAAGCACACCAAGUGGAUGCCUUCAUAUUCCAAACCAUACCAGUUAUCCUCCACCUGCACGAAGGCUUGUAGGGGUUGGGUAAGAUCAAUCUCCACACACACUCGGGCAUAUUUCCCUCGAACCUGGGCAACAGUAUUGGAGUCAACCUUGAAUGUGGUGCCCAGUAAAUCUCCAAUGCGUAGCAUGGCUUCAGGGCGGAACCAUUCAACGUGGAGACCAAUAAUCCGGACCCAAACGGUCAUCCUUGUCACUUGCUCCACAAGGGGAUCAAACCCAGGCUUCCAGCGCUGCAUAACCAGGUAUUGGCCAGCAAUAACCCAAGGGCCACCGCACAGUAUAGCUUUCAUAUCCUCUUCAAGCACAAAUCUCACAAUAAAGAAUCCAUUCUCUAAAUCAAUUAGUUUCCAAGGGCCCUUAAUCAUACCCCAUCUAUGCUGCAGCCUGGCAAGAACAAAAUUGUAAGUGUGAGCCUUACCCAUCAGCUUGAUGAUGAUUGAGGUUCGCCAAGGGCUGUAGAGGCGCUCUUUAACCUGUUCAGAAAAUCUGAUGCUCGGUCCCUUUUCACCUUCUGAGACAAUAAAGUCAUCAGCCUCAAUCGUGAAUUUAUCAUCCGCCAUCCCCCCAAGCCCAGUUCGGGUAGAGCCAUGUCCACCUUGUUUCAAGACCGAAUCCCUAAAAUUCAAGGUUACAGGGGGAGGAGAGCCGAAGCCCACAUCAGUCGCCAUAUCACCAGACGAGUUGGGAUCUGGCUCCGUAGUUCGAAUCCGCUUCGUUCCCACUGAUUCCAGUUUGUUCUCAGGUUGGAGAGCACUGAACACAAAUUUAGGUGGAGUCGCCGUCGUAAUAGGAGGUAGUCGAGAGAAGUCGCUGGAAAAGAUCGCCGCGUAGAUGGAAGAAAUAGCUGAAAUGGACUUCUUAAAACCUGUUGUCUUAUGUGCUAAGGAAAUUGAGCAAUGCAUUAUGGCAUAUCAGCACUUUACUCCUUGUAGGUUCAAUCAAAAUCUGAAGGGAGCUUUGGUCCACUUUCUGCGAAGUUUUCACCUUCCUUCUGCAUAGUUCAGAGGAUUUUUGAACUAAAGAAACCGCGUCAAGAGUUGGUUGUCAGUGAGAGGUGGAAGCAAUGGAAGAUAAAUAUACCAGACGAGAUUUCAAGUGUUGAAGCUACAAUUUUAGGGGAUGAUUUCUGGAGCAAUGCUCAUCUAUUAUUUGAGCCAUUUGUAAGAUUGCUUCGCUUGAUGUUGACAAACUUGUCAUGGGAGAUGUUUGUGAUUGGGGGGUGCAGGCUCUUGAAGCUGUGAAAAGUAAGGAUGUUGAUAAUGGCACAUUGAGUCAGUUGGAAGAGCUAAUAGAGAACAGACGGGAUGCAUUAUUUUCUCCACUUCAUGCUGCUGGUUACAUAUUGAACCCUCGAUAUUUUGGGAGAGGUCAAACUAGAGAUAAAACUGUAAUGAGAGGUUGGAAAGCCACCCUAGAUAGAUAUGAAUAUGAAAGUGCAGACCGGCGGGUGCUUAGAGAGCAGCUCAACUCUUACUGGCGACUGGAGGGCUCCUUCGGAGAUUGAAGAUGUUGUGGAUUGUAGGGAUGAAAUGGACCCAGUUGCAUGAUGGGAGAACUUUGGAUUUGAAACACCUAACUUACAGACACUAACUGUAAAAGUUUUGAGAGAUAUGGCAAGAGUAUGAGUUUCCAUGUCAAGAAACGGCCAGCAGAUUUGGAGUGGACAUAGUGGAGCAUCUUGUUUUUGUCAGAAACAAUCUUAGACUAAAUAGCCAAAGAAAUGGGAUUACAAACUCCUUAUCUGUCCCCAAAAAUGUAAGUUUAUGCUCUUCAUCUGGAGCCAAGACAUGGGAGGGUGCUCAUAAAGGUGACUGUGAGUAACCUGAUAAUCUUUGUUACUGCUGCUCAAUAUAUUGUAGUGCAUUACUGUAUAAAGUUAUGGAUGUAUAUCUUUGCUUUUCUGGGAAGUUGUGAUUAGGGUGAUAUUCAAAGAGUUCUUCAGCUGUUAUAUUGCGUUUGACCUCUCUUGUUCAAGAAUUCUUUGUAACUAACAUUAUGUUCUAUGCAUUUGGGAAAAAAUGAUAUUGCUAAUUGCUCACACUUAAGAAGUAGAGUAAUGUUAUUUAGACACACAACAUUGACCACCUUAACUGACCACCUUCCAUUAAGUCCAACUUCUCUGCAGAUCCUUAAAUCCAGACACUCUUUCUGCUCAGUGCAUCUUCUAGCCCUGAUAUUUUAUAGACACAGGUGGCCCUGAUAUUUGUUCUAUCAUUUUAUGUCCUAAUCUGCUGACAAAAUAUGCCGUCAAUUUGUAUCUUUUAGCAGACAAUAAGUUACGAAAAAUCGGAAUGUAGUUACACAAGUAUUUUUUUAGUAGGUGUGUGCUACUGAUAAUAAGGAAAAUGCUAGAGUCAGCUUACACGGUAAUAAAAUGAGAAAAACUUUUCUGACACGGAUAUUGUGCACUCUCUAUCUCACUCCUCACUAGUGAUCGGAACAUGGCCAAUCUCAUAGAUAUAACCAAAACUAAAUCUGAAUUUUUCAUCGCAUAUAAAUAGUUUAAAGUAAUAAGAAUGCUAAAAUGUGAAAUCUAAGCUAAGCACAUGAAAUGAAAUAAAAAAAUGACAUAUCACUUAAAUGAGGGGGCCUAGGGACUGCGUCCAUACAUAUGAAUUGUCGUUAUUUGCUAACUUCAAGAACAUCUGAACAUUGUUAGACCAGGGCACUGAGCAUAAAUCAUGGCACAAAUCAGUAGAUACAACUUUUUUAGAAGUAGCUAGUGGGAAAAGCAACCGCAGCCCUUCGUUUUAUAAUGGUUAUAUGGAGGCUCAAGUAUCUGCUUUACGUGGAAAUUAAGCAAAAGCCAAUUUGGCAGAUUAUGUAUUUGGUCAAGCUAUAAGAGAAAAAAUGCAAUUAAAAGACUGAAAAGUGGAAAUAGAAUUGACAAGUGGGCAAAAGACGGUGAAGACCAUUGAAGAUAAUAUGUAGUUAGUACUUAAUGUGGCCACAAUAUGAGAAUAAUGGUGGGGAUAAAGGAUGUUAAGACCUAAUUUGUCACAACUUUUGAAGUAAAGAAAAAGCACUUAUGUUACAUACAAGUUGAAUAAUGGGGAAUAAAGAAAAAGGAGAGAGGGGAAAAAAAAAAAAAAAAGCUACUUGAUUUAUCAAAGGGGUCCUAAAAGGAACACGCAACGCAGCGUUUGAUACACUAGCCUUGGUGCUUAUGCAUAUAUGUUUAUGGAAUUAUAUAGGGGUAUGUUAAGAUUUGGUUUAUCAAUGUUAUUAAUGAAAUACUUAGAGUUAUAACUUCAAUCAAACAGUGUCAUCUAAAGUUCUAGACUCGUGGGUUGUUUUAAGGUUUUGAUUAUGUUGGAUUUGUAAGCUUUAUUUAGGUUUCUGGUUAAUUGUGGUGAUAUGGGCUAGUGGUUUUAGUGCGGAUUUUGUCCGUAUUAGUUUUGUUUUUAGCGUGUUAGUUUGUUGCUCCCUUGGAAUUAGUAUUUUAGAUGUCUUGUUGAUGUUUUUAAUUGUACAGUUGAAAUUUAUCUAAUAAAGUUUCAAUUUGAUAAAAUUAAAAUUAAAACAAAAAACAAGAAAACAAAAACAGUGUCAUCUAAAUAACAUUCAUUCUGUUUUAAGUUGAUCAAGACGGCAUGUUACCAAUUCAUGACCACUACCCUACUCAUGUGACAACUAAUCAAACUAUUUAUUAAAGCCAUAAUAAUAAAGCUCACGGGCCCUUUAUACAGAUAUUGUCAUGUAAUAUCUAUGACAUCCACCUUCAAAUCAUACCAUAACGAGAAGAAUAACCUACUUAGAUCGGAAUGCCAUUAUUUCAAGCCGAUCUUAUAUUGAUAUGUCUGUGUUUUAAUUUUUUAUGCGACAAUACAUGUUGUCUUAAGAUGCUACAAUAAUUUUUUUUGAGGACCUUUCCUAUUGAAAGGGGCGAUAGCAUAUUAAAUUCACACACAUAACUCGGAUGUUAAAAUUUGAACUCAUGACCUUGCUUAAAAAUAAAUUUAAAAAAAAAAAAAAAAAGAUACUGCAAUAAUGGUAUUCUCCAUGCUAAUUAAGAACCCCCUUAAUUGGCUAUUUUCCUCUAGUCAUGGUAUUAUCAAUUAGGGUGUGCUUAAAUUCAGAAAAAAGCUCAAAAAGUACCAAAGUUGAUAGUUCAUUAGAGUUUAUGUUAGAAUAAUGAUGAGGAGGCUGAUGACAUUCACGAACAGCUCAAAAAUCCCAAUGCCUUUGCUCUGAGAGGUACUGUUUUGUCCAUCAUUCUUCAAACUUACAGGUUUGACAUUUGCUAUUUUGUUGAUGCUUUGUCUCCAUUGGUGUGAACUUGCAUUUUGACAAAUACACAAAUUAUAGUCGCUGUGUCAUAUGAAGAUGUCAAAUUAAUUAAAUUAUUUAUAAUAUUAAUUCCUAAUUAAGUACUUGAAUGCGUGAUUUAGAAUUAGUCUGCCUACAACAUUAUAAUGUGUCUAAUUAUUAGUCAAUUAGUAAGUUAAUAUGACACAAAAAUCACCAUCUCGGCCCACUCCACAAUCAACUUGACCUUAUUUUUCUUUGGUCUUUCAUUGAAAAAUCAUCUUUGUAAAAACUCACUCAAAUUGUACUUCCAUAUAUGGAUACAAAAAUGAUAAGUCAUGACCCAAACGUAACGAUAAAAGACUCAUCACUUAACUGUUGCAUUUCUCUUGUCAGAAAGAAUUGUCAAUCAACUAGCAAGACAAAAAAAUUAUGGCACUACUUGAGGUGAGCCAACCAACUGUGCAGGCCAUGAAUGGAUCUUCUGUCAACUAGAAAAUUAAUUAAUUAGUCUGUCUAAAUCAUUGUUUAAUUUUAAAAUAAAACAGUUUAAUUGUUAGUAUGUAGCUCUCACAUGAAAAGAUGGGGCACCAUACACACACAAAUGAUCUAACUAACAUCCAUUGCAUAUCAUUGGAAGUCUACUAUUCGGUCAAUUAGUCAUGUUUAGUUCUAAAUUAAUAUUUAGAAUAUUCGAAUAUUUGAUAUAAUUUCAAACUUGGAUAAUUAAGUCAUUUCAACUUGGCAGGGUCAUGAACAUGUGCCAUUGACAUAAGAAACACGAGAAUUGAAAUGGUCACAAGCAAAAUAAUUUAUUAAUAUUAUAGGCUAACUUACCUACCACCAUGAAAUAUGAUUUGUCAACUUGGUCACAUUAGUUUACAAAUGCACAUGGGACUAAUUACUCUAGAGGUCACGAAGUAAUUUUUUUUUUUUUUUUUUUUCUCCUCAUCCCCUUAUCUCCUAAAAUAGAAAAUAAGUGCUUUUCGAACACCUUAAAAAUGUUACAAAACUACCGCCAACGUGAAGUAAUGUAAUGUUUUUAUUAGAGCUAAGAGCAUAUCCACUAGAAAACCGAUUAAAUCGGCAACAGAUUGGUAUAAUUUAUUUUGUUGAAUCCGGUGCAUAAACCGAACUGAACCGGUGAUUCCGGUUUGGUGGUUGGGAGAGAGAUUGUAUAACCGUCAGCGCGCCAAAUCGAACUGAUUUUUUAUGGAAAAAUAAAAAAUUAUUAUUAAUAUAUACAUGGCAGACAUUCAUUGGAGGUUUUUCACAUACCCUACAGCUCGCCGCACCCGAUCACAACCCGCUCCAAAAUAUCCCUAAUCCAGUCGAAGCCCUAAACAAGGUGGCAAUAGCACUGACACUGCCCCUGCCACCAACAACCAAGGAUGACAUAUUGGAAUGGAAUACACAGUAGCUGCCUUUCAUUUUGGUUUCUAAUUUUUUGGAAUUUUAACACAUCAGGUGCCUCAGAUUUUGCUUUUGUAAUGUUAUCGAAUUUGAACGGAACAUAGCUUUAAUUAUUUUGGUUUAAAUUGUAAGCCUUUAUAAAGGCUCUUUAAUGAUGGAUUUUUGAUGAUGAAUGUUGGUUUUACAAUUAUGAAUAUGCGAUGUUGAACGUUGGAUGAAGCAUGUUUUGGAUUGUGCUAGGAAUCUGUUACAAGAAUGUAGGAUUUGAAAUGUAAAUCAGAUUUAGGCCUUGAGUUUGGGCAUGUUCUGACUUAAGCUCAAAAAUCACCAGGUCUGUUGCACCAACCCAAAUCAAACUACCAAUUCUGGUUAACCGAAGUGGUCGGUUCCUUCACCCUUUAGUUUGAUGUCAGUGCCAGCUUUCUUAGAAUCGAAGGCUACGAUUCGAUGAUCAGUUUGAACUCGGGAUCGAACUAAUCCAGACCAAGACCGAGCCCGACCCUAAUUGCUAUAAAAUAAAAAUAAAAUAAAAAAAUUGAUUUGUUUGAUGCAAAUGUAUAUAUUUAGAACAAGAAGACUAGGAAAUUUGAUUAUUUUCCGUUACUUGACUCACAAAAUGUUAGAAAAAUAUAAAUGAAAAAAAAAUCCAAAGUAAAUGAACCCUACUGACCAAUAAUAAACCAUAAAUAUAGAUAUUUAUCAAUUGGGAAUAAUAUAUAGGAUAGAAGCUUCACCAGUAGCUAUAUAUAAAUAUAUUUAAUUAUUGACCAAGAUAUCAACUUUUUAACUGGGGCUUUUGUGUUGAAACCCACCGACUAAUUUCUUCUCUGAAUGUGCUCAUCCAUCCAUGAUCCAUCCAUGUGUUUUGUUUCUCUUCCUUUUACUUUAACCUCACCGAAAAGGUCAUUAUGGGUUUUGUCUCUUCUUGAUUUAUCUGGAAAACGAAAGACAUGCUUUUCUUUUGUGUCAAGGAAAAUUGGUAGUUUCUAUCUCCUUCUCAGCAGACACUACCGAGAGAGAGAGAGUAGCAGAUGAUACUGGUCAAGUUUACAAGACAAGAAUGGCAUAUAAGGGGUAGGUCCCAAAAGCCCACUCUUAAAUGGAGGGUAGGUCACAAUGUCCAUCUUUUUGGCACAUUAGCCUCUUUUGAUUAGCUUCACCUUCCCAAAAUCGUUUCAGGGAAUUUUCCAGCAUCCAAGGUAGCUAGAUAUUUAGGGUCAUUUACCCAAAUCAAAUUAAUUAUCAGAGUACAAGCUAACGGAAACCUAAUAAGAAAUGCCAAAUACGAUUCGACAGAUUAUGAUAUGGUUUGUAUCAUCUUGGUAAAGAGAGCACCACACUUCAAUUCGGAGUUUUAAUAUUUAGGUCCCAUUUGAUUUCAAUUGGGCCUAAGAUUUUAAAGAGACAGACCAACUACCAAAUAUGAAUGAAAUCUACCAUAUCAUUUGACAAAAAAUAAAAAAUAACGUGUGCAUUCGAGCAUUUAUUAUGAAAGGUAUCUAUACUAUUAGUAAUGUGGCCACUUAUUAUAUGUUUUAUUUUAUUUUAUCUUUCAAAUGUGAAAUUUUAUGUCUUCUUUAAUACAAAUGAUAUUGAAGGAGAGGGAUUCGAACAAUGGAGAAAUUAUAGAAUACGACAAUUGAUUAUUAAUUAACACAUGGUUUGGUCAAUUAUAAUUUGGGUAAUGUUAAGCUUACCAUAUUUUUUAUACCACAUUGUGUCCCACCUCUCUAAUAAAAGUGGAGCCGAACAAAUUAAAAAGAGAAAACAAUCCACAGUUUUGACAAAGGACAGACAUGACCCUUCAAUCAAGGCUCUGGCAAGUAAGAAUGCUUUGUUUGUAUGACUUGUAUGAGGGCUCUUGUUUAUAUUGGCUUAAGUUUAAAUAUACUGUAAACACUAACCUGUGGGUUCUGAAAUUCAUGUCAUUAAUGAUCCACAUGAUUAAGAAUUCCUGUCAUUAGCAAAAUUUCACGUUCCAAUGUGUGCACGGCAUCGCAGCAAUCAACUGUUUUAACAAUGGGAAGUGAUAUUUCCAUGGCUUUUUAAUUCUAUAGCUGUCAAUCCAAACCCAUCUCACCAGCUGUAAGAAUAAUUUUCACAUGUAAGCAUGUACAGUGUACUUUGUUUAAUCAUACUAAUAUAGUUCUAUAAUAACUUUCAAUUUUCUAAUCGAAGAAGGUUAAGCAGUCUUUUUUAAAACUAUACACAUAUUGUCUUGACCUAAGUUGUUUAACUUAAAUAAUAGUAUACCGAUUUGAGUUCGUAAGGACAACAUUCUAGUCUAGUGAUACUUCUUUUUCUAAUGAUAAAAAAGGUCCCAUAGUCAAAUUUCCCAAUAAAUAAAAUAUGAAAACCUUAUUUUACAUGCUAUAAAGUAAUGAACUCUCUUAUAAACAAAAUUCUUAAGAAAUAAAAGAAGCAAAAUUAUAAUGGUAGUUCUUAUCAUUCCAACGGUCAUGAAUUUAAACAAGCAUGAUCUCGAUAUGUUAUGUUAUUACACUAUCAAUUACAAAAGCACACAUUCAUGCAAUUCUAUCUGCUUUAUGAUUUUUGUUGAUGCAUUAUAGUUCUUUCGUUUAGAUAUAUGUUAUGUAGUUGUGUGUUUUUUUGACUUUUGCAUGUUGUGCAAAAUAAGAGAGUUGAUGAACCCCAAACAUUUCUUAGGGUGAAUGGCGUGUGAGUUGACACAAGGCUCUAGGAUGAAAACACGCCGAGGAUUUGCGCCUUUUUUUUAUUACAAAGUGACUCGAAUUUUGUUGAUUAUAACUAAUUCACAUUACCAAAGCGGAAAUUAUAAAAUAAUUAUAUAAAAAGUUGACCAUUUAGAUUGUAAUCUAAACAAAUUUGUACUAUGAAAAAGAAAAACAAGUGGACUGAUAAAUCUGUAAAAAAAAAAGCUAAAAAAACAAGUGGUCAUUUUAUUUUACUGCGAUUUUAUGGGCAAAUGUCUAUGUUGCGUUUAGUGACAAAAUAAAUAAUAAUAAUUUCUUCUCCUAUUUUCUCUUGUAAGGGUACUUUGGUAUUUUGCAGGGAUGCUAAGGGUCUUUUUGGUAUUCAAUUUGAUUCCAAAUUUUUAAAACUCAAAAACAGAAUUUCAGUCUAAAACAAAGAAAACCUGUUUGGUAGCCCUAUUUUUAAAAACUCAAACUCAAGAACAACUAAAAACCACCCCAAUUAUUAAAAACAAAAAAUAUCUGUUUUUUCACAACUAAAAAACACCCCAAUUAUUAAAAACAAAAAAUAUCUGUUUUUUCAGUUUUUUUCUAACAAUCCACAAGUUCUCAAAUUUUUAAGAUUUGAAAACAGUUUUCAACGUGCAUACCAAACAAGUUUUUAAAUCUUAAAAAUAAAUUUAAGAACUCCUUGUUUUAAGAAAAAUCAAAGUUUUUGAGUUCCCUAUUUGAAUAGGAUAUCAAACGCCCCCUAAGCUUGCCAGCUCAAGCUUAGCCCGAUCUUCUUUUAUUAAUGGCAAACUAUAAUGUCGGCUCCUAAUAUUUGCGAACACUCUCAAUCUCAAAUAAGGCAGACUUUGCUCAAUUGUUCCUUUGAACAAAAAAAGGACUGCUACCUAUGGCAUAAUUGCAAUUUCAUGUUCCACGACAUUUUUGCACAAUAUUUUAUGUAAUUAAGAGAUUGGAUGGAGUGGUAAUCUUUUUUCUUUUUUUCACAUCGGAUUUUCCUCCACUAGGGAUUUUCAAAGCAAGACUUUGACAAGGCCACAUAAGUUGCAUCCAAGUUCUCAGUGGCGGAGCUAGGAUUCUUAGUAUAGAGGGGCCAAAAUUUCAAAAUCACUUCUACUAGGUUUUUCAUCUUCAACUGGGAGGGCCAUCACUAAUCUAAUUGCAGUAAUUGUAUUGCUAUAUCAUAUAUUUAAUAAUAUAUUACAAGAGAUUAAUAAUUAAGUGGGGGGGCCAGGGCCAUGGCAGGCCUGGCUGUAGCUUCGCCCCUGCAAGUUCUAAUAGUACUUGUAAUAAGUCGUUUAUAUCAAUCAUGUUUUCUUUCUUUUUUUGACACAACGGCGAUAGUGUUUUAUUUGAGGAAACUGAGUAACAGGUACAAAAAAUCAGACUAUGUCCUAGAGGAUUAGGCGAGUACUCUACACCAAAAGAAGUGUAGAGGGUGUUGGUCUACUGAGGUAGCCUACCUUCUCAACCACGAGCGGGAAAAGGUGAAGGAAACAUUAAAUUAUAGGUAUAGUUAGCCACAAAUAUAAGGUUAUAAUUAACCUUAGGCAACGAAAGCUUUAAAAUUUAAUCUUUGAGCUAUAAUACAACUAACUCUAAGUAUCUUGAAGCUUAGUUUCGAUUGUUCCACUCCUAGACUUUCUAGACUAAGAGAGAGAGAGAGAGAGAGAGAGAGAGAGAGUAGAAACUUUAUCCUUGAAGCACCACUCAAGGUUAACAUCCUUAGAGUUGAUCACCUAUAGAAGGCCUUGUAGAUUCACCAAAUCACCAAUGAAAGUGUUCUCUAACUUUUCAACACCAAGGAAGAUGAAGGAUAUAAUGCAACCUAGGAAGGAAGGAUGCUAGUGUUCACUUCCUGGGGUGGCUGAUUUUUGAUAGGUGGGAAGAGCUUGAUAGUGUUCUAAUCCUCUCUAGAAACUAGCUAAAAACCCUUACUUUUUCUCAAGAGACAAAAUUCACUUAAAUAGACACGCAAGGGAGGUAAAUAUAUAUGAAUUUUAUUUUCCAAUUCAUAUUGAACAAUUCUAGUUGCUUUCUCACUACCCGAGGAGAGCCGUGCAUCAAAUAUUAGGGUUUUGAUUUUUCAUGUUCAGCCGUCAUCCCCUCAUCGGCCUAAUCAUGCUUGUUUUCGUCCAUGUUCAGUCGCGUCGUCGUCCUUCUCCACUUGACAGUAUCGAGUCAUUUUUCUUCCACGUCGAGUCGCUGCCAUCACUCCUCUCUUCAACUCUGGGGUGCUGGCCUCGUUGUUGUCUCUCUCAUAUCCUAGGCAUUGGUUUCAUCGUUCUCUUUAUCCAUAGUGCGUCGGCGUCUCUGGUGGUUGCUUUGGUAUGGUGGUUUCAGCUAGUCUGCUCUUGCUAUUGUGCCGUCAGUCUCCAAGUCAACAACGGUCAUGGUGCAAGCUGCUUCGUUGGGGUCGGCGGUCACGAUGAAAGCGGCUUUCCUCACGCCUCCUCCAUCAUCUGAUCUGCGAUCUCAAGCUUUACCUUUAGGAGAAGACGACCGUUGUCCAGAGAUUUAGCGUGGGUGGCUUUUCACCUAUGGUCUAUAGCUUUGAUCCUCAUUUUCACAAUGUUGGGCCAAGUUUUUGGCAACUAGGGUUGUUGGGUACCAUCAUUUUACCCUUAUUUACAAGUGAUGUUGGUGUCCUUAUUGACAAACCUAUGGAGUCUCGUAGACGCCUUUCUUAAAGUGUUGUUGGAGCAUUCGUGGGCUUGGCAUCCAUGGAAUGCUCUUAUGCCUGAUCCCCGUGUUCAAGUUAAGUAGCUAGGCCAGUUUUGUUAUUUUUCCAUGGUGUUUUCUUCAUUCUCCCCUUAACUGAUAUUUGAUUCUCUGCAUGUCUCAAGGACUAUGUUUUCAUAGGAGGUUGCUUUGUCAGUGUUAAGAUGAUAGGGCGUGCUUGGGGGUCAAUCCUGGCAUGUUUCUCUUAUUUCAUCGCUAAUUUCUAUUGGAGGUGGCUGGAGAUGGUGUGUUUAGUGGUUGUUUUCUUUCUUCUUGGCGUAUUGUGUUCUCUGUCGGAUGUUCUCACUAUCUUGUGGUUGUGCAAAGGACUAUGAUUUCAUAGCAAGACUUUUUUGACAGUUGGAUUUUGUUGUAGUGUUCUCAUUGGAGGUCUUUGCAUCGAACGUCUAUGAGUCAAUUUGCUAUUUUAUUUUAUCCUGCUCUAGCAUUGGUCCUGCGUGACUGUUUCAGACUCUUUUGUUAGUCUAUGACAUGUGUGGUAUUCUUUCCUACCUUGAGGUUUGUCCCUCAGGAAUAUUUUAAUGAGGCUACUAUUUCGUGUCAUUCUAUGUACACUACUUUGAUUCAAUUAAUGAAUUCUAUUUCUAAAAACGAAACAAUUUGACACAUAAGGAAGAGACUAAAGUCUUCCCUUGGUAAAACUGGCCAUGGGGUCUCUAGUUGCCUCUUGGGCUUAUGUGGUCAUCCUACUAUACGCACAUGUCUUAACAAACCCAAAUGGGCCAUGAACCCGAUUUUAUAGUUUAUGCCCAAUUUACUCUUUUCCAGCAUUAUCUUAAUUAAUUCAAUCUCCAUUAAAUUAAUAAGUUUAUGUACAUCAUAUUUAUUUCCUUUCAUCUAACAUUAUCAGUGUGCGAUUCAUUAGGUUCUUAAUCGACGAGGCAUUGUGCGAUCCAAAACUCUUUAUUGAUUGAUUGUGAGUUAAAACUUCCUUUUAAUUCUUCCUUCAUGAGAAAAAGAUUCUAUCUUUGUUCCCAGGGCUUCCACAAACCGUGAGUGACGUCUAGCAAUUUGUCACGGUUGCCCAAGCCAAUAUAGAAUGGAGUUGUGAACCUAUUCAGUUGAGAUUACCAUGCAAUGCUCUUGAUCAUGCUAAUUAGGUCAUGAAAUUCGUGUCAAGCCCUUAGUGUGAUCUAUAGUUUCAUGUGAUUCAUUAGAGCAUGAUCAUAAUCUCUGUUAUUGAUAUAGCUCGUUGCUUUAGCCAAAGACUUUCUAGUCAUAUCUUCUGAGCAUUCUCCUUCUUUAUUGAAAGUAGAAAUUCCUUGUUGUACACUCACACGUCUCCAUGAAUUGAUCAUGAACCCUUGUCAUAUCUUUGGGUUAUGCCUAGAGGAACACAACACUUCAACAUGGCUAAGGGCCUACGACUCUUCCAUGAGACAACUCGUGAUGCCUCAGGUCAAGACUAAUUUGCACUAUUCCAACUUGAGAGAUUUUGAUUGACAUGUAAGUUAAACUUUCAUUCACUUUGUUGAUCACGUUCAGUGAAUUCAUUCUCUAAUGAACACUCAUGCACUUAUCUUAGUGUCUCCACAUAAAUGACUCGAGACCAAUCAUCCUUUUGAUUGAGCAGAUACAAUGCAUGAUGGUCUUUGUGGAUUAUCAAUGUCUAGUUGAUUAUCCUAUGACCAUGAACAGUUUAGGACAUGGACAUGGUACAUAAAGGUCUCCUGAACUUAACUUCUUUAAGUCACUUUCUACGUCUCACGAUCCACGACUUGUUGGUUAAGUAAAUGACUAAGAUUAUUACUCAAAACAACAUAGUGCCCUUAAUUAAUUAGGUGAAACAUCCUUAGAGUUUACAUCUCAUGAUUGGCUCUAGGGUAUAUUUCUAACAAAAGGAACCUUGCCUCCGAUAGAGUGCCCCCCCUCCCAAUACCCCUAAGAUCAUAUCCGUAAAAAUUACAAGUUACAAUCCUCAAAGAGAACAUAAAAAAUACAAUCUAGUGGCUCUUCAAACCAAGAAACCACAGUUCUCAAAUGUAAGGAAAAUUGGCGAGGCAAUGGGCUACACCAUUGACAGUACAACUGGUAUGGGUAAGAUUUAUAUCAAUAAAAGUUUCUUAACGAUUAAAAAAAAUGAUUUUUUUCCCUCAAAAUUUGACAGUAUUUGAACUUCUUUUAUUCAUUGACCAAAUUACCAUUUUUCUUUUAUAACGAACGAUAGUAUUUUAUUGAUAACAUGAACAAAAACAAGUACAAGGCCACUAUAGUGCAAAAGAUGGAUAAAUCUUCUUCAAUGACCAAACACAACAACAAGUUAAAUUGAUAUUGAGAGAAUUACGCACAACCUUCAAGAUUAUUAAAAUUUCUAAUUUUGCAUACAGAAGCACGCCUACUCAAACCUACAAUACAACUCCGCCACCUAAUGGCAUAAACGACAUAUCUGUAUCAAAAGCUGAAAGCUGAUAAGAAAUAAAGUCUCAUAAAGAAAAAAAUAAAAUACAGCUAACUCCUAAAGAGUUCAUGACAAUCAUUAAACCAAAAAAAAAAAAAAGAAGCAUGACCACCGCUCCUGUGUAAGUAAUAAUAGUGAUUAUUAGCAGCGCAUUAUUACAAGAGGUCCCAAGUUCGAACCUAAAUAAUAAUAUACUAAUUUGAGUUUAUAAGGCCAACAUUCUAAUCUAGUGGUACUUCUUUUUCCAAUGUUAAAAGAGGUCUCAAGUUCGAACCUCACAAUAAAUAAAAGGAGCGAGAGGAUAAGAGAGAGAAAGGAUAGGAGGAGGAGAGGACAGGGGAGUGGAAAGGGACGAAGGCCAUCAUUCCCCAAAGAAGGCUGCAACUUCCUUAUGGUUUUCUCAAAGAGGGUUUUUCCCUCUUAAAUUAAUUCUUUUUUUAUGCCGAAACAUUAAGUUAAAUAUGUGGACCAAUAAUAAUUUUCAGAGGGAAAUGAAAGAAAAUUAUUGAAGUAUUAUUUAAAGCAAGUGGUGUAUAACAAAGAAGGAAAAUAUGGGAAAGGUAAGAGUAGUUCUCAAUAUUUGAAGGCUUAUAAGUGUCUUAUUUAUCUUUAGUGUGCACACUAUUUAUAGACAUAGAAAAUACAUCAUCAUUGACCACUAUAAGUGGUGGUUACAAGGCAUAACUAUAUGAUAAGUGUUAUAUAUAUAGUCUUUAUGAUGGGCAUCCAUAACCUAUGAAUUUACAACGGUAAGGAACUUUUUUUUCUGCUCGUUAAGCAUACAUAUUUACAUUUUUUUUUUCAUAAGUCAAUGGGCAAUUAGUUCAAUGGAAAAAAAUAUAUCAUAAUGACAUUAGUCAAUUACAAAAUUUAGAUAACAUAACGACGCAUGCAUAUUGUUUCUUUUGAGAAUAUGUUUUCUUGCAAGAAGUUGCGCAGGAGAAUAAUGCAAGAUUGGGGCCAUUUCAAAUACACACCUCCUUAUCAACGUGCAACUUAGAAAUGAUGAUAAAUAUAUUAAGGCUCUUAAAGUUUAAAUUAUUUACAUUAUUUUUGUACAUAUCCAUGCUUGUUUAUGGAAAUAUUGAACAUGAUGUUGUUCCCAUUAUCUUUUGCUCCUAGUAAGGUUGGGAAGUGGAAGAUCAUAGGUUGAAUUAUUAUUAUUAUUAUUAUGCGAAAAAAAACUAUAAAAUAAAAAAUAAAAAAUAAAAAGAAGAAAAAAAAGAUGUCCUAUUGUCUACUUUUUCAAGUGGGAAGAGAUCCAUGUCAAAAUGAUUUUCAGGAAAUUUGUUUGAGACCCGUCGUUUUUGAGAGAAACAUGCAUGUUCUGUCUUCAUCUUCUUCUUUCCUUAAUUUUUGACUUUCAAGAUUUAGGUAGUUUGAAAUAAAAAUCAUAAAUUAAAGAAAAAUAAUAAUCUCCAACAAAAUUAUAUAACUACCUAUACCUACCACAGUCUCCUGUCAUCAAUCAAUCAUCUAUAUUUUUUGUGGAAUUAAGAGAGAUUGCCAUAAAUUACUCAAUCCUUCUUUCAGCGUCAACAAUGAAUGGACUCCACAAAUGUGAUAUCACUGAAAUUUCUUCAAUAUUAAUAAAUGUAGCUCGAUUUAUUCACUAAGGACUUAAGCAUGAUAUUAUCCAAUUCAUAUUUAUAAAGAUUUUUAUAUAUUUUUAAAAUAAAAAAAGACUUUUAGAAGAAAAAAAAUUAAGCGACUGACUUUCAAAGACUUGACAGAUUUUUAAUAACUUUUAUAAACUUAUAUAUAGUCCCACAAUUAGAAGAGUUCUCCACUAAAGAUAUCCGCCUGCGGGCAUUUUUCUAAGACUACCGAUAUUGCAGUUCAAUGAUCAUAGCUGUCUAUUUUAGCUUCUGUUUCAACAGUCAUCUUUGCAUAAAAUCAUCCAUAUUGAAAACUAUUUGGUUAUAUAUAUAUAUAUCUAGAAUUUAUCGAAGCGUUUGCAAGAAAAUAAUAUGCCAAAAAGUAAAGAAGAUAAAAUAGUAAAACUAAUAUGAGUUUCAAAAGCAAAAUGACAAAAUGUUGACAAAAAGAAAAUGAAGGAAAGACCUCGUCCAGUGCCAUUAUGGACGGAGUGAUUGAAUACAACAGAAGCAAAAAGAGCCAUUUUCACAACAUUAAUGCUGAUAGAAAUAAGGCAUUCAAAGUUGAAUUGAACUUGGACACUGCAACUAGUCUUUGAAGGUUGAAUGACUUUCCUUACUACGCUAGUCAUUCAGUCAAUUCACUAUAACUUCGAAUCAAGGGCGGAAUCAGGAAUUUUUCAAUGAGUGAGCUAGCUACAGUUAUUAGCUUAAAAUUUAAUGAUAAUUUUUUUUACUAACAGUUUCUAUAGUUUUUCUAGAAAUAAAAGUAUACAUUAGAUCAUAUAAAUCACGCUAAUUGUAAACAUAAGAAAAAAGAAGAAAAAGAAGGAAUUAGAGCCAUAUUAUUCACGAAGGGGUGAAUUUUAUUUAGAAAAAUGUUUCUUUUUUGGAGAUACGUUAAUAAAAAAGGAUUAAAAUUGAUGUUUGGGACAAACUUUGACACCAAAUACAAAAUGUGGAAGACCUUUGACUAUACCUAUUGAUGUGUUAGGAUAUGCAAUUGUAUAUAUAUAUAUAUAUAUAUAUAUAUAUAGUUUAAAUAUUAGGCUAUAUAUGUGUAAUUAUUUUUUUCCCCAAAACUUUCCCUAGGCUAUCAGGGGCGGAUUCAAGAAUUUUUUAGAAGAGAUGCAAUAUUAAAAAGACUGAAAACUCAUUAAAAAAAAAAGUUAGACAAUAAAAUGCCCUUAUAAUUAAUCAAUAUUAUUAUCUAUUCAUAGAAAGAAAAAAAAAAUUACAAGCAAGCCACAAUUGUUGCCAACUUUAAUCAAUAUCAAUAUAAAUUAAUCUAACAAAAUAUCAAUAUGAAUUAAUCUAGUCAAAAUAAAAUUACAAUUUGAUUAACACAAAUACAAAGAGAAAAAACAGAAGGAAAAAAAAAUAAGAAGAGUGAUGCAGUGGCGUGAGAGCCGUCACCUUGGAUUGGGUUUGCAGCAGCGUGCAAUUGAAGAGCGGCUCUUCAAGUUUUAAGAAUUGGGAUUGAUACUUGCAAGAGGACUCCUUGUAUACACUGUUGCUUUUCCGUGGAGGUAAGGCUAUUCCAUCAGGUUUAUUAAUAUAAUUUUUUUCAACCUCCGGUUCAAAACAACGUCGUUGGGCCAGGAGUUUUAUAAAUAAAUAUAAAAUAAAAAAAAUAAAAAAAAGGCGUUGCACUGCUUGCAGCAACACAACGAUGCAAAGUAGAAGCUGCACUCAGGCAUUUCCACAAGCAGUUGGUGGGCAGCUUCAACGCAGAUCGGAGGAGCGAACUCCGCCACCUUCAAGGCAUUUUUCGACCAAAAACAGUGCAGCUGUAUCUCUUUGUGUCUUUAUAGGUCCGCCACUGCUUUGAAUCCUUACAUAUAGAUUUGAAUUUUAGGAAGAAAAAAUAAUAGUAGUAAUUAACGGCAUGUGUAUGCUACCAAACUUAUUCCAUGCAAUGAUAUGAUACCAUAAUGAUUAUAUUGAUUGAAAUAUAAUCAUCAGUCUCGAUCUCUUGGACUACAAGGGUUCAAGAGAUUUGUGGUCACUCACCGUUGAAUGUAAAUUCAACGGUUCACUCACUCUUGCACUCCUUUUAAGAAUUUUUUUUGAACCGUUGGCUGUUACAUUCAGCGGUGGGUGACCACAGUCUCUUGGACCCCUGUGGUCCAAGAGAUUGGGGUUGAUAUAAUCAUAUAACACAUGCAUAUAUAUAUAUAUAUAUAUAUCUGAGAGUUUCAGUUAAGAGAUCCCUUAAAUAAGCUUAUUUGAGGGACACGAUUAUAGGGCCCACAUAAACCGUCUAUUUUGUAGAUAUCCAUUCAAAGAUCACCUCUACAAAAAAAAUACUUGAAUCCGAUAUCAUUUGACCACUCAAUUGAAUUAUUGAAAUUUUAGUACUUUCUUGAAGCACCAUGCUCAUUGAUUUUAUAUGACACAAUUGGAUAUCAAAAUGGUUUCUGCUUUGUCUAAUUUUUUGCAAAGAUGGUCUAUGAAUGUAGACUUAAAAAAUAAAUGGUUUGGAUCAUUGAAAAAAAAAUUUCUCAGGGAACCUUAAAGGGUAAGGCCACUCCAAGCCUAGAAGUGGCUCCAAUAUAUAUAUAUAUAUAUAUAUAUAUAUAUAUGUAUAUAUUAAUAUUAGAAGGAAUCAAAUGCAGAAACUAUCCUAAUUCUAAUCCAUUACGCCACUAUCCUAAUUCAUAAACAAAGGAAGAAGAAAAAAAAAAACACAAGAGUUAUCUAUAUGUAAGGGUGGAUUCGGUUCGGCAACCGACUCGAGCAAGGAAAGCCGAUUACUGAACCGAAGAGAAGCAGAUUGCCUAUGCAUAAACUAUCCUAAUUAAUAUUCCCCCUAUUUCCAAGCCUUCAUCACUGGGUAUAAUUCCUGAUAAUAGGUACUUCAUUUUUUAUGAGCUUCACUAAAGAAUGCAACUAGUUUCUUCUCUUGAGACAAUAUAACACCUAUACUCAGUCCACUAACAACACAUUCAACCUAUCUUUUAUAGUGAAAUUCUGUGGUGAGGGUACCAUAUAUAGACCACUCAUAUGGACCUCCAUAUUAACCACAUGAUCAUUUCAUUAAACUUAAGUGAAGUUACUAUUCAGUUGAAUCAUGUGGCUAAUAUGAAGGUCCCAUCAAUGGUCCAUAUAUGACACCCUCACCAUAGAAUGACUCAUCUUAUAUAUAUAUAUAUAUAUAUAUAUAUAUAUAUAAUCCCCUUCUAUUAAGGGAUCCCUCAAAUAAUUUUAUUUAAGGGACACCCUUUAGGGUCCCUUAAAUUAUUUUCAACAAUCCAAACCAUCUAUUUUUCAAGUCUUCAUUCAUUAAUCAUUUUUGUGAAAAAUUAGACAAAUCGAAAAACGUUAAGACAUCUAAUUGUAACAAACAAAAUAGACGAACACGGUGCUUCAACAAAAGACAAAAAUAACAACCAUGUAAUUGAGUGGUCAAAUGGUUUCGGAUUCAAGUGAUUUUUUGCGGAAAUGAUAUUUGAAGAAAUAUAUAAAAAUUAUACGGUUUGGAUCAUUAAAAAAAAUAAUGUGUGGUGGGCCUUAUAAGGGUGUCCCUCAAAUAAUCUUAUUUGAGCGAUCCCUCAACUGAAGAGGAAAUCGAACACAGGACCUUGGUUGUAGGGAUAACUUCUCUUAACCAUUUGAGUUACAAGCCCCUUGCAAAUAUGAGAUUAUUUUUUCAAUGUUAUUUCAAGUACUCAUGAUUGAGUAAACAAGCUAACAAAUGUAUCAUAAGUUAAAUCUCGUGGCUACAAUAGCGGAUCCAGGAAUUUUUAUUGGGAUAGGCUAUUUUUUUUUUUAUUUUUUUUAUAGAGGAGAUAUAUUAUAAGACUUUUUUCUCUUGAAACAAAAAUGUAAAUAAAAUUUUAUAAAUCAAACAAAGCCACAAUACGAGCAAAUAUAACACAAAGAAGUACAAAAUAUAAAUAAAUAGCAAACAAUCUCAAAAAAAGGUUCUCGUACAAAACUAUCCUUAUCAACAAAUCUUAAAACAAUGGUCAUUUGCUUUCUAUUAGAUACAUUUUUUGCUUUAUCAACAAGAUACAAUAAGUUGAUUCCCCAAAAAUACUAGACAUUAAAAAUCAUAUAUGCUAAUUAAUAAUUCAAGUUGCAAAAAUAAAACAUAUAUCAACAAUCUCCCAAAGUUUUCACUCAAACCCUAAAUCAUAAAAACUUAACAACAACAAUUAAAAUUGGAAUUGAAUAUAUAUAUAUAUAUAUAUUAUAUUUUUUUUAACUUAACAAGAUUGAAGAACCCACUCAAGAUAGGUUGGUACAAUUUUUGGGAGGAUGAGAGCUAUUUCCUUUAGGUUCUCAAGGUUCAAAUAUGGCGUUUUGGGUGGCUAGAAGAAAUUUUUUGAUGUUUGCUCUAUGUGGGCGUAGCCCAAUAUCAGUAUGAUUAGUAGCUCAAGUUGAUAGAGCCUUAGCGUGAGUUUUGCUUCUAAUCAAAUUUAUGUAGGUUUUGAUUGGAUUGACGUUUAUUAUUUCCUAUAUGCUUCAAGAGUAGGCUUAUUUUAAAUAAAGGACUAAGCUAUUAUUAAUUUAUUAAAAAAAAGAAAAACAAUGCAUGUGUGGACUGUAUUUAUUUGGUGCAAUGGACUAAUAUUUAUCUGAGUAGGAAUAAACCUAUAAUUAUGAGAUCAUAUUUAAUAUUUCAUAAAUGUUCCUCCCCACUCCAGCCUAGCCUUAGGUCCGCCUUUGCAUGGCUAAUAAGUAUUAAACAAACUAAUAUUUAAUUAGUGAUGUAAGAAGACAAAUCAAACUCAUGUAAUUAAUCUCCCAUUAUGUUUACCAUGGACAAGAAAAGUAUUACCAGUUACAACUUGCAAAAUAGAAGUAAAAAUCUUGAAUUCGACUUGUACUCAGAAUAUGCUUUCCGCAUAUAUAUUGUGUAAAAGCUUGGACCACAAGAGUUCAUAUGAGUUCACUAUAAAAUGUUCGGUUGUCCUUUGUUCUUUUGUAAAGGCAAAGUGAGAAACACUCACAAGGCUUGAACCUUAACCAAACCCUUGGAAGUUGCUUUGCUGGCAAAAAAAAAAAAACACCCUUGGAAGUUAAUGGUUUCAAGUGUGGCUAAAAAGGCACUGUAAAAUUUGUAUUGAGUGUCAUUUAGUUGGGUUUGUAGGCUUUUAUUCUUUUGGCCGGAAAUAGACUCUAAGACUUACUUGGCGGCACCUACAAUUUUCAGAGAGUCAUGAGGUUCACUUGUAAAGGAGAAAAAGUUAAAAAGUAAGUACAACUGUACAACUUCUAAAUUACCCAACUCCUAAAAAGAAUAUGGCUAUUGACAAAGAGGUGGGUAUAGCUACAACCCAAAAACAUUAAAGAAUGUUGAGUCUAUUCAUCCGUUACCAAUUAGUUUUGAGUUGGAUCUUGUGCAUCAUAUUUCAAGUCAAAACAACUAGUUGAUAUUUUGACCAAAGGUCAAGCAAAUGAAAGGCUAGGUUGUUGUUAAGCUCAAACAUGUUAUUUACUAUUUUUCCCAUUUACAUAUCUUAAAAAUACAAAAUUCUAUUUUGUGAUUUUUGUCUUGCAAAGCAGUUUUUCAAAAACCGUUUUUUGUAAAACGUUAUCAGACCAACCCUUAGAAUUCGGUCUCUCUUCGUUCAUCUCUAUUAUUCUCAAGUAUCUCUUGAUUGGGUCUCAACUAUGGGUAAAUUAGUCAUACUAAGCCUUCAAUUCUUGUUUCUCCUUAAAUAAGUCAAUUGCAAUACCGAGAUAAGCUUAGGAUUCAUGGCCAAAUAUAAUUUCUAGCAACUUAUUCAACUAUUUAAACGGACUAAUGUGAACUUGAUGUUAUUAACUCAUUUAUAUUAUCACACGUCCACAUGUACGGUGAUCAAUAUAAUGUGUUGAAUGUUAAGUUCGUCAUUUAAUUAGGCUAGAGAUAUGAGAUCAGAUUCGUAGUAUUAGACCGGUUUAACAACGAGGCCUGCAUUUAUUAACAGCUAAGAUCAUUCUUGAAGAUUUUACUCUUGACCAAAUAAGUAACACGUUAUUGUUUUCUUUUUUUAACCCCAAGGAAAUUUAAAGCAUACCUCUCAUAGAGCAUAAGGUAGAAACAAGCUUGGAAACUGUUAAAUAGAAAUUCAAUCACAUAUAAUGCUGUGAUAUUAUUUUGCACUGAUUUGUUUUCUAUUUUAGGAAAACUAAUUACCACAUCAUCGCAGUAUAUUCAUGAGAUCUCCAAUAAUUCAAUGUGGAAUUCAACUUUAGAAGUUACUUUUCAAGUCAACUUAGCAAUGAAAUUAUAGUUUUACCCUUGUAAUUUUCCAACUGAAAUAUUUAUAAACCAAAAUAUUAAAAUUUAAAAAAAAGAUUUCACUGCUUGCACACCUUACCAAAUAUGGCAUGAGCUCGGCGACAAUGCCAGAGUAGCUAGAAAGGGCAGGAGAUAGGUUUUUUUUAUUUAUUUAUUUAUUUUAUUUUAUUUUUUUUAAAUUAACAUUUUUAAAAAAAAAAUUAUUGAGAUGUUCUUUUAUUGGGAAAUGACAAUGCUGCCCUUUUGCAUUAUCAAGCAGCUUGUUAUUAUUAUUAUUGUUUUUUUGUUAGAAUAUAUACCUUGUAAUUUGCAACAAGCAAGUAAAAGCUGGACAAUAAUGAAGUCACUCAGACUUGGAGUUGGAACAGUUGAAAGUGUGAGGAUUCUCUUGAUUGCAAAAGGAUAUCUACCUAAAAGGGAGAGUGAAUUAGAAUACAUAUAGUCUGGCCAAAAGAGAAAUAAAUAAUGCUAAUAAACAGAAAUAAAUAUGAAAUUCCAAAUUGGGCCAAAACUGACUAUAAAAGACCCCCCCUUUCUCUCUCUGUCCUUCAUACUCUCUCUCAGCACUCUCAGUCCUGUCUCUGCUUCAUUUUGACAAGAGGCAGAACAAGUUAAUAGUUGGCACAGAUCUUUGAGAGAGAGAGAGAGAGAGAGAGAGAGAGAGAGAGAGAGAGAGAGAGAGAGAGGCUUAGAAGAAGGGAAAGUGUAGAUUUUUUGUUCUGUACUUUCCACUUCUGAGUGAAGAGGAGAAAACAAGAGAGCAAAUCUGUAUUGCCUCAUAAAUUUCCCUCUCUGGGUUUUUUUUUCUUGAAAUCAAAGGAUUUUUCAGCCCAUUGUUUUCUGUCUUGCCUUAUUGAAGAAUUUGAGAGCCGCACUUUAAUCCUAUACAAAACCCACUUCCCCACAUUGGUCACAUUUCAUUUAAACCAAAAAAGUGAGUGAAAGAUCUGGUAGUUAGUUUUGUUUUGUUCAUUAUCUUCUCAUCUCUUGCCUUUGCAGAGUGAGAGAUAUGGCUGAGACCACAACCAAAGUUCUGAUACCAGAAUCAUUUCAAGGGGGCACAUAUGACAUUGCAGGCCAAAUGGGGCUGAUUUGGGAGCUAAUCAAAGCGCCAUUGAUAGUACCUUUGCUCAGAAUUUGUGUCUACAUUUCCUUGGCCAUGUCUCUCAUGCUCUUCUUUGAGAGGCUUUACAUGGGAAUUGUCAUCAUUUUGGUCAAGCUCUUCUGGAAGAAACCAGAGAAGCGCUACAAAUAUGAGGCCAUUCAGGAGGACCUGGAACUGGGCAGCUCCAAUUUCCCUGUGGUUCUAAUCCAAAUCCCUAUGUUCAAUGAAAGAGAGGUACAUGCUGCUUUGUUAUCAAAAUCUCUCUGUUUUUGUUUUCGUGUGUUCUUAGAUUUCACAAGCAUUGUUGUGUGCUGUUAUCUGUUUGUGACAGAAAAAACCUUAAAGUAUGGUGCUUUUUGUGUGUUCUCUUGGGUUUUUGGGUCAGGUCUACAAGAUCUCUAUUGGUGCUGCAUGUGGGCUUUCAUGGCCGUCCGAUCGUCUAGUGAUCCAAGUCCUUGAUGAUUCAACUGACCCUACAAUCAAGGUAAACUUUCCUAAAUUCAGAAAACAACCCAUCAUUUGGAUCACCCCACUAAUUAUUCUCCCACAUUUAUCGUUAAAAAUGUAAUCUUUUCUUCAUCAUUUUUCCUUCCAACCACCACCGCCAACAAAUCUCAUCAUUCUAGUGACAUGGGUCUUUUCAAUGUGUUUGUUAAAAAGCCACAGAGAAUGAAGUAGCCCAAUUAUUGAGUUUUCUGGCGUGACCCUUGUGGUUUCUGACAUGGGUUUUGUUUCAUUUUGGCCAUUUGACUCGUCGCAUUAACAAAAUGGGCAAGUGGGUUUUUAAUAAAACUAUCAAAAACUGACGUUUUUGCAGCAAAUGGUGGAGCUGGAGUGUCAAAGGUGGGCAAGCAAAGGCAUAAACAUAAGGUACCAAAUCAGAGAAACCAGGGGAGGCUACAAGGCUGGGGCUUUGAAAGAAGGCUUGAAGCGCAGCUACGUGAAGCACUGCGAGUACGUGGCCAUCUUCGACGCCGAUUUCAGGCCUGAACCAGACUAUCUCCGGCGAGCCAUCCCUUUCUUGGUCCACAACCCUGACAUUGCUUUGGUUCAAGCUCGAUGGAGAUUCGGUAAAUUAAUUAUAAUUCAUUCAUUUUUCUGAUUAUUAUUAUUAAUUAGAUUAUUAUUAUAUGUUCUUUUUUAACGUACCCUUUAAUUGCGUUUAUUAAAUUUUUCAGAGUGUCGGUGGUCUGAUUUUGUGGAUUUUUCUUUUUGUUUUUCCUUUCGAGUAUGUAUUUGGGCUUUUAUUUUUUCUUUUCCGUCGGCGGGAUCAGUUUGUGUGUACAGUGUGCAUGGGACAAUGGGUCUUCCAGAGUACAAACCAUCAAUCACGGGGUCGGGCCCACACAGAGCAGCCCUUCUUGGCCAUCUCUGAUUUUGACACCUGUUUGUCUGCUAGCCCUUCAUCAAGGGCUGCUUGGUACCCACGUCUGGAAAUAUUAGAAAGUACUUGUCAUAGACGGAAGUGUGAUUCAUGUUCAAUUUGUCAGUUUUAGUGCCAUUAAUCAGUGCUUUUCUUUUCUAGAUUACGUUUUCAUUGGCCUCAAGUAGAAAACAAAAACAAAAGUCCAACAAUUUAAUUUUGGACUGAUGUUUUCUUGCCAUCUAGCUUGUUAUUAUGUGGAAAUAUUAAAGUGAUGAAUCGGUUGAUUCACAGUCUAUCAACAUAACGUGUCCAACAUUCACUAGAAAUUUUGAUUCCACGUCGUCUCUCGUAUUUAUGGGAAAUGACGUAAGAGCUCCUAACAUAGGAUUAGGAUCCCUCACUCAAGUAGCAAAGUCAGUGUCACCUUCUUCUUGUGAACCGGCAUGAUCAGAUGCUAGAAAUGCGGGGUAGGUUUGUCAUUUUGCUGCACGAGAACAAGGACGGUAAUUUUGUGACAAUAAGUUGCCUUAUGUAAACCCCGGAUUGUACGGUUCAAACGGUCAAAUAUUUCGUAAGCGGCCGGAUCAGAGUGAGUUUCCGGAAACUUGAGUGACAAACGUGUCAAUUUACGGACUCAAGAUUUUUAUCCUCUAGUGCACUGCUCACGUGGUUACUAAAACUAGGUGGCACCACAGUAAGCCUUGCGGUGGACCCACAUUUUCUCUGCUCCAGCCUUUACCGACACUUGGUUUGUCGUGCUGAUGCUAGCGUGGCCAACCUUCAUUUGUGUCACGUGACCACCAGACCAGUUCCCUACUUUUAAAUGCUUUUGGAGUUUCUUUUCUAUUUUUGAUGGGGUCCACAUCUUUUUAAUCUUUUUAAUCAUUUAGUGCAUUCACAUUAUUUUUUUCUUUUUUAUAUUAGUAAUAAUCUAAAAUAUUCUAAAUUAAUCUAAUUUAAAAAGAAGGGUAUCCGAAUUUGAGUGCAAGAGGUGACCUAACUGCCUUGGCCAACUUGUCUAACCCACGUUUGCACAUUCAGAUUAUAAAUAUUAUGUUACAUGUACAUUUUUCUUUUUCUUUUUUUUUUCUUUUUUGGGGGUGAGAUAAAAUUGUUUAUGUGGUUUUGCAGUGAAUUCGGAUGAGUGCUUGUUGACCAGAAUGCAGGAGAUGUCAUUGGAUUAUCAUUUCACGGUUGAACAAGAAGUUGGGUCAGCAACACAUGCCUUCUUCGGUUUCAAUGGUAAACCUAUUUUUAACAAAUACCACUUAUGGUCAAAUUUGAAUUAUCAUCCAUGUUGCCCUUUUUUUCUUUUUUCUUUUGUCAAAAAUAUAUAUCUUGAUUUGUCCCUGUCUAUUAAUUGGUUGACAUGUGCAAAGUGCUGGUUCAGAGUUUCCAAUUGGUGGGGACUAAUUGGCAAAUAUGUACAUAUAGUUGGUAUGUGAGAGUGACUUGAACAUAUGAGAAAAAUAGAACAUUGACCAAGUCUGCAAGACUUAGACUUAGCUUUAGACUUGCAGGGAGGGACGUUACACAGUCAUUAUCAUGAUCUUUCUUCAUCAAAGUUAUGUUUUAAUAUUUUUUUUUAUCAUAAAUGAAAUUGGUUGACUUCUAGUUCCUUCAUUCCUGGCUAAAAUCAUGCCAUUGCCAAAGUUUUGAAUUUUAAAAGAGACAAUGUAUAUGGUCUUCAACAGUCAAACUGGAUAAAUUGAAAAUUUGAACUCAAGUGAUUGUCAAGUUACUAAUCAGACGCAGUAAUUACUAGUUACUUCUUGUUAAAGUAACUUGAUAAAGCAUUGCAUAUAUUUUUGCUCAUAUUGCACUGCAUAUUAGUAGUUUCUUGCUAAAAUGGUAAUGCAUAUUCUAAUUACAACUGCAACAUUCAACUCAGAGUAUUUGCAGUUUUGAAUUUGACAUAUGAAAACAUUGCAGGGACCGCUGGUGUGUGGAGAAUUGCUGCUAUUAAUGAGGCAGGCGGGUGGAAGGACCGGACGACAGUGGAGGAUAUGGAUCUUGCUGUCCGGGCUAGUCUCAGAGGCUGGAAAUUUUUGUACCUUGGUGACCUUCAGGUAUUUGUUAACCGAAUAUGUAUGUACAUUGAACAAAUCAAAUGGUUCAUCCAUAGGUGAAGUCUAACUACAAUAGGGAUGACAUGAACACAAUUUCUGAUCUUUAUCUAUGUUUCAGGUGAAAAGUGAACUUCCAAGUACUUUCAAUGCCUUCCGUUUCCAGCAGCACAGAUGGUCUUGUGGUCCUGCUAAUCUGUUUAGGAAAAUGGUGAUGGAAAUAGUAAAAACUAAGGUGAGUUCCUUUUAAUUAUAUUACUCACUUGUGCCCCUAAUGCAAUUUCUUCUUCUUCCAUCUUCUUUCUUCAUAUGUUAUAAUUAUGUUUCUUGUAUGUGUGUUGCAGAAAGUUACAUUGUGGAAGAAAUUUUAUGUCAUAUACAGUUUCUUCUUUGUCCGAAAGAUCAUAGCCCACAUGGUGACCUUCUUCUUUUACUGCGUUGUACUUCCUCUGACCAUUUUGGUUCCUGAAGUUUAUGUUCCAAUCUGGGGAGCAGUUUAUAUUCCUUCCAUCAUCACCAUUCUAAACUCAGUUGGAACUCCAAGGUCUUGUAGACUCUACACUUGAUUUCUUCAUUAAUUACUUUUAUUACAUGUUCUUCAAUCUUAUGAAAGUAAUCAAUCUUCUUCUUGAAUUUAUGCAGGUCGAUUCACCUGUUGUUUUACUGGAUCCUUUUCGAGAACGUGAUGUCUUUGCACCGGACCAAGGCAACUUUGAUUGGCCUGCUAGAAACAGGGAGGGCCAAUGAGUGGGUUGUCACUGAAAAACUGGGAGAUAUUGUCAAGAACAAAGCAGCAGAGGCUGCCAAGAAACCAGCCCCAAAAUUUUUCAAAAGGCCAAAGUUCAAGUUUGGCAACAGGUAAAAUUUCGUUAAACACUUUUAUUCUUUCUACUGCAGACUUGCUUAUUUUAUUUUUCCAUGUGCAAUGUGCAUAGAAAUUUGUAACUAUUUGCAUUGACACCACAUCUACACUGGCACACAGAGAGCUCUGUCUUUUCUGCAUAACUUUAAGCCUUGGCUAAAAAACCAAAUCACAUGCACCAUAUGUUUUAAUUAUUUGCCAACAUUAACCUAAUCCCACAAGUAAGAAUAAUUAUUUCUGUUUUUACCCUUUUCAUUACUGGAGAUCAGAAUCUUUGCAUUGGUCUAUCCACCUAAGUAUCAUAUAAAUCAACUGCUGCUGGCAUAUGACAGCAGAUGAGAGUUUAUUAAGAGUAAACAUGUGGGAUUAGGAAAAUAAUAUUAUCUAUUGGUGUUAUGAAACCAUCCCAAGCCUGUUCUUUAUUACCUUCUGCUUUGUCCUUUAAUGUUUUUUCUUAUUCUUUCCAACACCGUUUCCCCUAAUAUGCAAUCUUUUAUAUCUGUUGAUCCUUGGUUAAACAUUAACAGGCUUCACCUCUUGGAGCUGGGAUUUGGGGCCUUUCUGUUCGUCUGUGGAUGCUAUGAUUAUGUGCAUGGGAAGAACAACUACUUUGUAUACCUCUUCCUCCAAACCAUUACGUUCUUGAUCUGCGGAUUUGGCUACGUUGGAACCAUCAUCCCCAGUUCUUAAUCAGCAGCGCUUCGUAGUUAAAUUAUAUAGAUUAGUUGACACAAUCUCCCCUAUUGUUUCUCAUGCCAUGCCAGCAUAUUUCUCAUCUUCAACAAAGAUUUAAGUAAGUAGGGUUCUAUGAGCAAAUGUUGGUUGCAACUUGGAUUAUUUUCAGCUGAGCAAAAUUCAUCUUGCAAUGGAAAAAAAAAAAAAAAAAAAAAAGGUUCUUCCUGCACCUUCCUCGUCGAAUCUCAUGUCACAGUUCAAGUAUACCUGGAAAUUUUCAGAGAAAAAACAAAUGCUGAUAGCUGAACACAUUAUACAGAGUGAAUUGUCAAGGAAGAAGCAGACGUCAUGGUUUUUUUUAUAUAAAUGUUUUUCAAGGACAAGGAAAUAGUACUAUUCUCUUUAAAUAGAUUGCUUGUAAUUGUGAAGUUUUGUUCUUCUUUCUUGGGUUUGCCAGCUAUAGUUUUUUUUUUCCUUGGAUUGUGGGGAAUAAGCUCCUGGAUGAAAAAAAGAAAAAAGAAAUUUAGUUGAAGUUGUAGUCUUGUAAUCAAAAUUUACUUAUCAUUUGAUAAUCAUCAUAUAUUCAUAUGCUUAGUCAUUUUAGAUUGUAUCAGAUUGAUCAACUCCAUUGAUUAAUAAGUUUGACAGUCUUUGUAAGGCUGCCAAUGGUUUCCUUCGGCCCCUUCAUCUGAAAUUAUGGUGGCAGAAAUGGUUAAAUUAUUUCUGAUAAAAAAAAAAAAGGUUAAAUGAUUCAUGGAAUUCUGCUGAAUUUUAUAUGAACCAUACUCCUUUCUGUGAUUCUUGAUAGCCAGUGUAUGCAACACAAUUUCUAAAGUUUGGAUAUAUGCACGUUGCCUGUCUGACUCAGAUUCAGAGCUUUGUCGUUCCAAAGGCCCCACUUGCAUAUGUAAAUCAUGAGCUGUGACAUAAAGGCACUAGAACAGAAGCAGCAUCCAAGAAAAUUGAAAUUCAUCGGUUGACUAUUCACACUGAUUAUUUUUACUUUAUGCUGAGGGAUAUGCUUUGGGUCACUGGCCUUAGGGCGUGAGAGAUUCUUAGCCGUUAAUGAAAAUGAGAUUUACAAUGUAUAAACGAUUAGAUUCCGGCCAUUUGUACAUGGGAGACUGAUCUUAACAAAAAAUUUAAAUCUCUACUAUAUAAAAUAUGGAUAACAAAAUGAUGAAGAUAUGUGAUAAUUGACCGCUUGUCUUGUUAGAUUGUAAAACUGAAUCAUUAGUCAUGUUGAUUGUUUCUUGAAAGUGUGAUCCAAAUUCACGAUCAUACAAUAUAAAAAUAUGUAUGGCAAGAAAAUAUUAAUCGUUAUAAUAUUACUCGAGCUUGGGAAAUUUUUAAUCGUUGAUGGGUAUGAGACUCACGUUAGCAAAUGUAUCAACAAUUAUACUUGCAUCUAGACACGAUCUUGUUAUAAAGUUCUUAUGUUGUCAGACUAUAAAACUGCUUCAGUAAUCAUGUUGAUUCUUUCUUAAAUGCGUGAUACAUACCCACAAUUGGACAGCGUAAAGAUAUGUCUCGCAAAAGACAUGUCUCAGAAAAAUGCUAAGCAUCUAUAAAAUUACAGUAGAAUCUAUAACCAGUGUUGUUAAGGCAACUGCUUUUAUAAGGUUUAAGGUAACAAAGCGUCACCCAGUCACUCACCUCACCAUCUGCCCUAAACCUGCCCCGACAAGUAGGGCAGGACAUUCUGGACCAUGUCACUUUUCAUGCCUGUCUCAAUCUUUUUUUUUUUUCUUUCUUUGAUGCGAUCAAUCAUUAAUUUGUAGCCUGUGAUGAUAUGUAUAAUUUCAUCACUGUCCAGCUUUACUGCCUUGUUAUAAUUAAUCAGUUAAAAAGGAUAAGCAAAAGAGGUUUAAACUUGAGAUUAAAGUAAGCAUAUGAUGAUUAUGGUUUUGGGUUUACUUGCAUUUGAAGUGUCAUUAUCUGUUUAAACUUUUUCUUUACUUGAAUCAAUGUGUGUCUGCACUCUGCAGUGCAGGCCUUGUGAUAAUAAUAAUGUGUAUACAUUAUAAUAACAGGGAGGAGAUUAUAUUUUUUAUAUAUUUUUUUUAAUGCAGAUAAAAUAUACAAUGGAAACUUCGAAAGCAAGUUGCUCUGAUAGGUUUGUCAUACCAAAGAGAUAAUAUUAACAUGGCAGAAAACAAUGGGCUAAUUGGAGGAAAAACCCUCCCUUCUUUCAUCUAUCUUUUUGGUCAAUUGACAAAGUUACCAUAUACUUAUAAUUUCAUUUUGAUCUUUUAAUUCAGUUUUUAAGUUAUGUGGUUCUUCAAUUAUGUGUCGUUUUCGUUCUUAUCGUCAAUCUCGUUAAUUUUUUUUAUUUAUGAUUAUUAAGAAUAAAAUCAUACAUUUCAUCCAUCACUUAUAUUCAAUCUUAUGUAUAAGAAACUCAUGGUUGUAAAUAGAAAUAAAUUUAAAUACAAGAAAAUAUAUUGAAUUUUUUUCUCUCUCUCUUUUGGGGGGUAGGGUAGGGAGCAAUCAAACUUAGCAUAUACCACAUAGUUAUUCUUUUCUCCAUUAUUAUGAUGUUCAGAAGAAUGAACAAAGCAUUCUGGUAAUGCAGAGCUGGCCAUGUUCAAUUUAGAGGGUGAGUGCCCACUUGCUCUCUAUGCUAAAUACAGCAGGUCUUCAUAUUGCCAACUACACUUUGUCAGAAAAUGUCACCAUGUGGUCUUUUGUGACAUUAUUAUUACCAAUCCACAAAUGGUGUGGUUCCUACCAAACUCCUAAGUUCUAAGCCAAAAAGCUUUUGUUCCUACCAGACUUGAUCCCCACUCCUAACUCCAAACUCCUAUAUCUACAUACUCACCUUUUCUUUUUCUUUCUUCUUUCUCUCCUUUUUGUAACAAAUCCACCUAGACUUACUUGAUCAAAAGGUUUUCUUUAGAUCAAAUCUAGCAAAUAAUACACAUUGUUCAAGUUGUAAUGUGAUCAAUUAAGUUUCUUAAACGCAACCGUCUAUCCAUAUUUACGUAACUGAGUAUAAUUUACUAGUGUCGAAAUCAUUUAUGCGUGUGGAAGGCUUAUGCUAAUAAAAUCUGUGAUAAAAAAAGAAGGAUAACCAACAAAAACUCUGAAAAUGGUAGUUGAGUUGAGAGAGCAAAGAAUGGCAUAAAUGAGGUGAACGGGCUUUUGGAAGUGUCGGCGGCCGUAUUGAGAUUUAACUUCAACAUAUUGUAUGGUCCAUAGUUUGAUUCCUUUAUGACCUAAACAUAAAUAAUUGAUUUCCUUACGAUAUCAUAUUUAUAUAAAGUGGCACAUGCCUAUACCAGAUGCUUACGUCAGUGUAUAGAUCACUUGUCUUUUUCAACUUCCAACCGUUAAGAUUUGCAAAAAUUAAAAAAGAAGAAAAGGCUAAAUGGGUUUCUAAAUAUUUGGUUCCACAGUUUCUCCAACCGACACACACAGAAUUAAAGGCAGCCGGCAGUCCAAAUGCAAUUUAGUUUUUCUUAUUUCUUUCACCAAUUUAACAAGUUAGCAUUUGCCAACGGGUCUAGCUUAAAGUUCUUAGGUUAAAAUUAUAGUUGUGUGUGUGAGAAAAAUCUCUUUUUAAUUUAAAUUUUUUAAUUUAGACUAUUAUUUGUAUUAAAAAAAUAAAUAUUUUAUUUAUAUUACUUGUUUGGAAGGUUUGCUUAGGAAUUUCUUCAGCGUCUCCCCCCGAUCAUAUGUACUUAUAAAAUUUAAUAUGUCAUAGUCAAAGACGUUAACCUGUCUGGCUCAUAUUAUAGGUAGGUAUAAAAGUAGGUAUUUCUUUUCUAAAGUGAAAUGUUACAAAACCCUUUAAAACUAUUUCGAUAUUUAGACAUGUAGAAUGUGUGUUGAAAUUAUACUACAGUAAUUCAUCACCAUCACGUGUAUUGAUCGUAGAUGUAUUAUAAAUUUCACGUGCAUCAACGGUCAGAAAACGUCCAUGCUUACGUCUCUAAUUUGUCAAUAGAUUAUGUGAUUAGUUGGUGAGGGGUCUCCUCAUAGUCACACACAUACAAUUGCUAUGUGCUGGCUUGGGAUAAUUGGUAUUUGGAUUGAGUCUUGUCUUUAUUGACCAUUGCCCCUCAAUUAUGGAAUUCAAGCGUCAAUUCUAGCAUUGGCAUGGGGUCGGCCCCAAUUUAAUAAAAUUCCACAUGUCUCUCUCUUUCAAUCUCUCUCUCUCUCUCCAUCAUUUUCCUCUUUUUUUUGUUUAAGUACAAACGAUACUGGGGAGGGAGAAAUCGAAUCUAAAAUCUCAAGUGAAUGAGUAGAUGUUCUUAGCAAUUUGAACUACAAACUCCUUGCCACCGUCUUUCCUGUACAAGAGCUGUCACAUAAUAAAUAGAGAACUUUAGUUGUGCAUGUGAUUUUGUUUUUGUGGUUGGACCAAAUCCUAUACAUAUAAGUAACACAGAAAUUAAGCGGAUCUAAUCUUAAGAAGAAGUAUAUAAAGGUUGACACUUGACACAAUGAGAACAAGCAUGUAACAUGUUGAGUUUGAAUCUAUGAAAUCUGUGAGAUGAUGAUGGUGAUGAUGUGGGAAUAUAUGGCAAAAAGAGGGAACCAAUAGUCUAGAGCCACAUCAUCUCAUCCCAUUCCAUCACACAUCGAUCUGCAAUGAAUAAAAUAAAACUUAUAAGAGAGUGAUUAACGGUAAGGCAUGUGUAGGGAUCACCAUUCACCAAUGGUGAAGCAGCAUGUCCAACACCGAGAAACAGACGAGAGAGAGAUUUACAAACAAAAUCCUGAAAUAAACGCAGAAAAGGAUGCCCAAAAGUCCAAUUUUCCUGCUGGAAUUAACAUGCUUGCACACGAUUCUGACCUUGCCCUACGUGUUUUUCUUUAUUAUUAUUAUUUAUAAAUCGAUUGUCUGCAUUCAUUUUCUAGGGGAAAAAGAAAGGUGGAAAAGAAAAAGGAGGAUAUCAUUUUGUUGACCAUGUGAUUUGAGGUGGAAUGGUUGAUACUAAUUUCAGGCAUCAAUUGGGAUUAGUGGGGGAAGUUGACAUAAGUAGUUGGUGGAUAUUUUUUUAUUUUUUUUAUUUUUUUAAAAGUGUUAAGUAUAAAUUUUUUAAAAAGAUUGGAAAAGGCCAUAACCUUAUCUUGGACUUGGACUAUAAGAACAAGGACUCUAACUCAAACCAACCCGAAUUGUACAGCUCCAAGAUCCAACCCAAAUGCUCAUAUUAUGCAUUACAUCCCUCAAAGUUCAUAUCCUCUUACAAUACCCAGUUCAGUUUUUGUUCUUUUGGGCCUUGUGCCCUCACAUGUACCCAAAAAGAUAAAAAGUACAAAUGGAAAUUGAGAAUUCAGUAGUUGUAUACUAAAAAAUUAACAAAUAAAAAGAUUUGAGCUCUGCUUAUAAAGUGAAAUCAUAUGGGUAUGAAAAAACCAAAACCAAAAAGUUUCAGGACAGGAAGAAUUUUAAAGGUUUCAAAAACAAUUAGAACCAAUAUGUUUCUGAUAUACAUAAAUCAUAUAAUCACAAGGAGAGUCAAGUUAAUUUUUUUCAAUACUCAUCGUUUUAAGGAGUGUUAAGAUUUCAAAUUCUAAGAUUAAGACAAAAUUCUUCCAAUCUAAUGUGGCAGUGGUAAAAAGUUAUUGUCAAUUGCAACUCUCUCAUCUGUUAUGUCUACUAGUUAUGGGGCUGUGACAGCACCAACAUUGCUAAGUUGUUCAUCGAAUCUAAUAUUGUCCGAAAUUGAUGAAAAGUUGGCUCAGGGACUUCAACUUGUAACUGACUAGCAGAGUAAGCCUUACUAUUCAAGUUAGGACAUCAUAAUAAAUAGCUUCCAUACCCAUACAUCCUCACCAGGAGAAUGAGCUUCGAUGAACCUCAGCGUAAUUCCAACCGAGCUCUACAGAAAAAAAACAGACAAAGUCUAGAGACGGACUGGAGACCACCAGAAGAACAGUGGUUCUGAAUCUUCUGAUGAGGCUGCAAGUAAAAACUAAGAUGGCACUCAAUUCUUCAGGCGUGUUUUAUAUGAAUGAUGUGGAUCAACACCUCUAUGUUGUUUAGCUACUUAAUCAGCUUAGAUCAGUCCGGGCGGAGGAAGUUUGAUAUUGGCAUAUUAGCUGCUCCGAAACAAAUGCAUCUGUGAAAAUUAUAUUUACGCAUUUCACUCGCUAACAAAUAUGUAUUUUCAACUGUACUCAUCUGCCAGAAUUUCAAGAAUUCAAUUCCAUUAUCAACUACCUUUCCCACUGCCUAUACGAGGAUGGUAUUUUUGUCCACAUAUAAGUGCUCCUUCAGAAUUUCUCUUAGGUACUCUAGCUGCUCAAAACCACCUUGACGUUCUUCCCACUACAAGAAACAGAAAAUAAUCAUUCUGUUAAAAAGCACAACUAGAAACCACUCUUAUCCAAUAAACAUGCAAGAAGUUUGCUAUUGAUGAACCAGAUUUCAAUAUUUAGGCAUGACUAAGAAUUCUAUUGUUGGCAUGAGACAACCUUCUCCGAAAACCUAUAUGCUUAUCGUCAGCCUCAUUUAUGUUUACACCUUCUAGUGCAGAGGAAUUUGUUCCCUAAAUACUGUAGUGGUACUGAAACUCAGAUAAAUCUGUACAUGAUUGCAGAGGAAUUUGUUCCCUAAAUACUGUAGUGGUACUGAAACUCAGAUAAAUCUGUACAUGAUUGAAUCAAGCUGAUCUUCGGCAUGGGCAUGAAUAAAGGUGAGCUAUGGUCUCAACAUGCCUAGGCACAAAUGCGCAGCAUAGAAAAACUAAACUAGAAAAACCUUCAAAGUAAAGAACAAAACAUAGAGCUUGUGCAUGUGUGUUCGCGCGUGUCUGUUAAGGUGAUAAUUCAUGAUGUGAGAAGUGAGAACUCACCUCUUGAUGAGAUAACGACACAACUUUCCAACCAGCAGCAGUUAUGUAGCGCCUUUUUAGCAUAGUAUGUCCCAAGGGCACCCCUGUAUGAAGCAGAAGGAUAUCAAUUGAAUAGUAACUGGGGGACUAAGAGUAGUCAAUGAUUCAUUUGAACACACGCACAAAGAAGAUGCUGCAAUAUUAUGUGAAGGAUGCUCACCAGUAUUUCUUGAGAAAUGCGUUGGGCCAUCAAUCUCCAUAGCAACCUUCUUAUCAAUCAAUACAGCAUCCAAAGUGUACCCAUCCACAACAUAUUCUUUGACCCAAUCGAGACCAGUGCUAACAAGAAGACGGGCAACUUCCCUUUGAAAUGAUGAUGUCAUUUUCUGAUUAAAUCUCUUAGUUUUACCAGCACGAGCAAUUUUCUCCUCAAGAUCUUCCCUUAAAGAUAACUGAAGGUGUGGGUACUCAAGCUUCAAGCACUGGUUCACUAGAUGAACCUGAGAAGCAAACAUGAUAUCCUCCCUAUACUGCUCUGAAAUCCUUUGUUCUUCAAAUUGGCUCAGAGUUCUCCACACAUGGGAAAAGAAAGUCCGAUCCAUUUGUCCAAUAACAGCAUAAGACCAAGCUAUAUUCCCAAGCUGAUCCCUUCUGAAACUGAGAACAGGGGAGCUUCUAACGCCAUCAAAGUCAAGAUCUCCUAUGUUGUCCACACCAUUUUCGCUGUCAAAUUCUGAAUUUUCUUUGCUUGAGUAGCAUAUAAAUUGGCUUUCAUCAUUGAAAACAUUAUCUAAAGAUUCCAGCAAAGGUUCAGCAGACUCAGAUAAAGAAGCAAAAGCCCACAACACCUGAGCAAGCUCUUGCUCCUGGAAAGUAUGAAUUAUAUCUGAUGCCCUUUUGGAUAAUUCAGAAAAGAGAUCAGGAGCAGAGUGCUUCAUUGAAGCAAAAGCACCUGCAAUAUUAGCCACAUUCUGUGAAUUAAACUCCCCAACCUUGGUUAAGGCCACCUCCGCAACUCUAUCCAUUUCUGACAAGUAAAUCAGAUCACCACCAAUCUUAGACAAUGCCCACGAGACAUUAGAGAUACCUUGAGCUGAACAGUCUGGUAAGGCUGUCAUUGCUAUUCCUACAAGCAUAGACAUCUCUCUUUGGCGAGCAAAGGCCAACCUACGUGUCUCUAUCAUUGAAACUUUCUCCAUAUUCUUAGCAAUUCGAUGAAGAGCGGUGGCAAUGUUCAAAGGAGAGAGAGGUGAGGGACUCAAGCCUUUCCCAACAGCCAUGAUUGUCUCUGCAGUAACCUCCACCACUUCUUCUGCAGUUUGUGCGUCAAUAAUAGCUCUAUUCAAGUUGAUUUCUUUCUUACGAUCAGAUGGCCCCGAAAAUUGGGAAAGCCUCUGAACAAACUCUUCCAUGGUCUUCUCCUUUUUCUCUUCAAACAUCCCACCUGCCAGCACACUCACAGUUCUUCUUAAAUGACUAGCACCAUUAAGAGUAUUUGUAUCUUGCAUAUCAAAGUCUUCCUCGGAAUCAAUAUCCAAAUCUUCUUCAACUUCCUUGAUUUUCUUAUUCACUUUCUCUAUUUUCCCCAGCUUCUUCUUCUUGUUCUUCUUUUUCUUCUUUACUGUCAUCAUAUCUUCCAUUAGAUGAGAUAAGCCCUUCGCCUCAAUCGAUUUAAGAGCAGUCUUUCUUGCCCUCACACACCAAUCCAUUCCCUCACUCUCUUCAAGCGACUUAGACUUUUUUAGCUUUUUCCUCUUGUUGGGGGCCUGGAAACCCAGAGGGUCAAGAUCUCCAAGAAACUCCAACUCCCAAUCCAUAUUACCAUCUCCAUUUUCUUCUUCUUCCUCAUCGUCACUCUCAACACUCCUUGAGCUAAUAGCAGCAUUAUCUGCGCCUACAUUUACGCAAUAUCUUCUUGGAAGGACAAGCUCAAGCCUUUGAGCUAAGAGCCCAGUUCUUGUUAUUGGAAGCUUAUGAGCAAUAUCAGGAUUAAAAGUGAAAGGUUUGAAGCAAAUUUGAUGAGGGAAGGUGUUAAGCAAGCUUUGCAUACUUAUCUAACAAUCUUAAAAUGAAAAACAAAAUUGAAAAUUCAAAGCAACUGCCAAACUGACAAUAUAAUUUAAGAGAGAAAUCAAAAAUUCUUGAGCGAACAGGACAUACCCAAAAGACAAUAUCCACUGCUUCUAAAGAGAAUGGGAAUUUGAAGGCUCCGUUGCUGUUGUUGUUGCAGCUCUUAGGGGUUAGAAGAUAAUAUUAAUAAGGGAAAAGAAAUGGGAGGGAGAGAAGGCUGAGGUUGGGUUAGGAUAGAAGAAAAUCAUAACAAGAAGUGAAGAAGACGAAGAAAAUUAGAAGCUCGAAUAUGAAAUUUCGAAGAAUUGAUGGAGAAAUGGAGUUGAGUAGAGUUCAGUUGUUGGGUUUCAGAAAAAGGGGUUUGGAAAGGAUAAUGUCGAAAAGUUCAGGAAUUCUACACUUACAUCCUUUAAAAAAUAGUUACUGUUUAAAACAGAACAACUUUUACCCCUACAAGUUGUAGGAGGGAGGUUUUCUUGUCUCCAAUAAUUUUCGAAUGGGGUUGAAUUCUCCAUUUAUGAGGAAGUGUUGUCUUGCUUUUGAAAAUUUGUGCGAGUAUCAAGAACAAUUAAGCAUUGAUGUGUAUGAACUAAUUAUGUUUCUACGUGACAGGAACUCUUGUUGAACGCGAUCGCUAUUUGAGGCAAUUUUUCUAUAAUGUUUCAAACGAAAAGAAAGCAAAUAGAUACUAAAAUCAUAUCAAUAUUCCCGUAACUUCUUUAGUUCACUAGUUCUAAUAUCCACGAACCAAACACUCUUAUACUUCCCAAGAACUCACUAGUAAUAGAUAACAAUUUUGCUUCGACCCAACAGCUAAAUGAUACUUCCAAACCAAUACUAAAUUCUAGGAAAUGCCAACACAAUUUCAUACUAACAUACGUGAUUCACACCUUAAUUAUAGAAUUUAAUAAAAGCUAUAACUAAAAUGUGAAGAAACAUUUAAUAAAUAAAAUUAAUAUUUCACAUAGAAUAUUAAGCGGAAACGACAACAUCUGAAAUCUUAAAAAUUUUACAUUAUUUUACAAGUUAGAACUACUCAAGAGUUCACUAAAAGAGUAGCUCAUUAUUCAUUCACAAGCUAUGUAUACAAUACACUCUAUAGAUAUGCCAAAAUCAUCACAAGCUCUAGAUUUCAGGUUCAAUACCUCCAAAAUUUGUUAGGGGUGAGCGAAACCACAUCUCAGUAGGGACAUAAAUCUUUUCAAGGUAAAUUGAUAUAACUAAAUUAAGUGACAUACAAUCACACAGCCAAAUAUCAUAUUAUUAAUAAUAAUGCAUGAAUGCUCUUAAUCUAUAGGACAAACAGACCUGCAUGUCGCAUAUCAUGUUUAUACCACUUGGUCCCGAAUGCCCAUUUGUAUGAACUAACCUCCAUCUCAAUCAUCCCAUAAAUUCCCUUUUGUUAUUCAUCUUGUCUAACUCCCUGUCGCCAGUCCCGUAUCACCAAUAAAAACCAUGUGCACUAUGGGAUCCCCAAGAUUUGGUACCUGCAACCUCUUUUUCCAUCAUUAUUUUCUCAACCUAACAAUUCUAGCUAAUUUUCAUGACAUGAUAUAAUUAUGCCUUUCACAUAUUCUUCACAACAACAUAACCAUUUAAAAUAUCACCAAUGUAUAUAUAAUUAUGCCAACAUUGUUUAAAUAGUUAAGAAUACGUAAACACCCAAUACAAGGAACGUCAACCAAACUGUAAUACCAUGCAUAAUAGAAUGCUCACGAAAUUUAAUUAAAUCAAUCUUUGUAAAAGGCCCCCAAGAAACCCUUACCUCAAUUCCAAAGCUAGCUCAAAAUUUAAGAAAACACAAGCUAAGCCCUAUAUCUCCUCCAAGAGUUUCAUCACCUCUCUCUCUCUCUCUCUCUCUCUUCUUUUACUUCCUCUCUCCAUUUCUUUCUCGUUUCUUACUCUCAUUUCAAUUCUGGAACGCCCUAUUUAUACUAGCAUAAGUCGGCAACAACAAGGAUCCCAUUGGGUAAUUGUUUGGCGGCUAAGAAAUGAGAUAUGCAUGGAAACUAUCUUAUAUAAUAUAAACUAAUAUUAAUUCUAUCACAAAAGUAGAUUAAGUAACAAGAAGAUUAACACAAACUCUAAGAGAUAAAUGAUAGUAUGACGUCUCUCACUUAGGUGAGUUCUCCAAUAGUACAUGUGACCUACACCCUGUUGGAGUUUGCCGGCCUCGAAACUCAUUCAGGGAUGAAUCUCUUUCUAACACCACAUAAAAUAGCACUUUUGCCGUAAGGAUGAGCAGAAGAAUAUCUCAAGGAUAUCUCCAUUGUUUUAUGAGUGUUGUAUGAGUCACGCAGUAUGGAUUGUUUCUACCACAUUGAACUUCCUUCAUGGGAUCGCCAAUCACAGAAGUUGGGUUACCUCCCUAGGUGACUCCCUUAUGGGCUUAAGCACUUUCCCCUCGACAUUUUGCAUUAAUAGCCUCCUCCACGAGACAUGCAUAUCGGGACUAGCCUACAAGGCAUAUAUAAUGUAGGUCAUGUAAUUAAAAAUAAAGAAACAAAUAAAUAAAUAAAAUAAGUCAAGAGUAAGAAAGCAAGCCUGGUAUAGUGAAAGCACAUCAAAGACGCUGUCCUAAAGCCUUUGUAGCCUCCCAACGUGCAGGUAAUGACAGUCUAUAAGACUCCAAGAUACGACCCCAAUACGCAGGCUUAAGGUCCGCUAUGAGCAUGUUCACAGUCGGAUAGAAAUCUCCAAGCCACAGAACCGUUGUCCAAAAUAAUAAUAUGAAAAAUAGAGAAUAUAUGAAAGUAUGAGACUAUAAAAGUCAUAUUGUGGUGUGUUUCAAAUGUGAAGGAGGAGUGACCUUUUAUAGGCAUUCAACACUUGUAACCUCCAGACACAUUAAACCAAAAAAAUUAAGACAAUGAAUAGAAAAUAAAAACUGAAAGUCUAAACAAUUGUAACUCCUAUAAUAAAUCAAAGAAAAUAGACAAAAUAUUAAAACAAAAAAUAAAACGUUAAAAUUUAAAAAAACCUUUCAAAUAAUAACAAUCCCCCACAAGGGUUUUAAAAUUUUAAAAUAGCAAAAGAUAAAUAAAAUAUACAUAAAGGCAACAUAAUACUAUGCAAUAGGUGUAGGUGCAUUCCAGGCUUGAACCUUCACUUAGUGAUGAUAGUUUUCAUUUGAGGAACUUGAGUGUACAUAGUAUUGAACUCGGUACCUUUGACCAAACUUCAACAUAUUCCACACAUAGUAUUAGUUAAGACUUGGAAGUGGGGUAGCGCUAUUUAUGGUCAUGCACUAAUCUUGAUUCUCAUGAGAGUUACUAGAGAAUAGACUAAUUCUCACAGUAGCGGUCUCACGACGUCUUUCACUUGGGUGAGUUCUCCAAGAGUACAUGUGACCUGUACCCUACGAGAGAUUGCCCGCCUAGAAACUCAUUCAAGGAUAACUCUCUUCCUAACACCACAUUAUAUAGCACUAAUGUCAUAGGGAUGAGCAUGAAGACAUCUUUAGGAUGCCUCUACAUUAUAUAAACAGUGCUCAAUGAGUCACGCAGUAUGGAUUGUUUCUACGCAUUGAACUUCCUUCAUGGGAUGGCCAAUCACAUAAGUUGGGUUACCUCCUUAGGUGACUCAUUUAUGGGCUUGAGCCCAUCCCCCCUGGACAUUUCUAGGACUCUGCUCCUAGAAAGACUUUUAGUCAAUUGGUCAGCAAUAUUAUUCUCCAACUUCACAUACUCCAAAGACACAAUGUUCUUACUUAAUAAGCUCUUCACAGAUUUAUGUCUUACAUGUAUGUGGUGUUCAUUUUCCUAUUUGUAUGAGAUUGUUUCACUAAGUCUAUUAUAGCCUUGCAAUCAUAAUAAAUAGAUAAAGCAGGCAAUGGUUUCUCCACCAGAGGCAUAUCCAUCAAUAAACUCUUAAUCCAUUCAGCCUCAGUGCAAGUAAUAUCCAAAUCUAUGAGUUUAGACUCCAUAAAACUUCUAGAAAUAAUUGUUUGCUUCUUAGAACCCCAUAAAAUUGCAGCUCCACCCAAUAAGAAAAUGUAACCACUAGUCGACUUCACUUCUUCAUUGUUUGUUAUCCAAUUUGCAUCACUAUAUCCUUCUACCACAUUUGGAAAUCCUUUAUAGCAUAGUGAAUAAUCCAUUGUUCCUCUUAGGUACUUGAAAACUCUUUCCAAAGCAUCCCAAUGUUCCUUGCUUGGGUUAUGUAUAUACCUACUUAAUCUUCCAACAUCUUAAGUAAUAUCUGGCCUAGUCUUAUUUGCAAUGUACAACAAAAAACCUGUCAUCUGGGAGUACUUCAGUUGAGAAAACGGUUCACCUUGAUUUUUCUUUGAAUGAACAUUGAGAUCAUAAGGUGUUGGUGUUGGCUUACACUCAAAGUAAUUGAACUUCUUCAACAUCUUCUCAAUAAUACUAGAUUGACUUGGAGAAAUUCCUUGUGUUGUCUUUUCAAUUUUCAUUCCUAAGAUUAUAUGUGCUUCUCCCAUAUCUUUCAUGUCAAAAUUCUUGAUAAAUAUGACUUCACAUCAUUCACAAUCUCUAAAUUCGUUCCAAAGAUCAAAAUGUCAUCAACAUAAAGGCACAAGAUUACAUUUAUCAUGACCAUCAAACUUAAAAUCAUAAUCUAGAAUCAGCUUGUCAAAUUUCUCAUGCCAUUGCUUAGAAGCUUGCUUUAGGUCAUAUAAAGAUUUAACCAACUUACACACUUUAUGUUCUUGGCCCUUAACUAUGAAUUCUUCGGGUUGUUCCAUAUAGAUUUCUUCAUCUAAGACUCCAUUCAAAAAUGCCGUCUUCACAUACGUUUGAUGAAUCACUAAAUUAUGCAAAGAUGUGAAAGCUAUCAAAGUCCUUAUGGUGGUAAUCCUUGAAACAAGUGAGUAAGUAUCAAAAUAGUCUAUCCAUUUCUUUUGUGUAAAACUCUUAUCUACCAAUCUUGCUUUAUACUUAUCAAUACUUCCAUCUGGUUUCAACUUUUUCCUAAACACCCACUUGCACCCUAUAGCUUUAUAUCCAACAGGCAAAUCUGUUAACAUUCAUGUAUUAUUUUGGAUUAUAGAUUGAAACUCAUCAUUUAUAGUAUCUUUCCAGAAUGGUGCAUCCACAGACAUAACGGCUUCCUUAUAAGUUGUGGGAUCUCAUUCCACUAGAAAGGUAUAGAAAUCAUCUCCAAAAUUUUCUCAACUCUUGCUCUUUUGCUUCUUCUGAGUUCUUGAGAUUCUAAACUUUCGAUUGUAGUUAAGCUAGAAGGCUUCUCAUUUGUUUGUACUUCCUUAGAAAUUCUUGUCUUGUACGGAAAAAUAUAUUCAAAGAAUGUAGCAUCUCUAGCUUCCAUAACUAUGUUGUUUGCAACCUCAUUUACUUCAGAGUUAAUCACCAAGAACCUAUUGGGACUGCUAUUUUUUGCAUAACCGAGGAAAAUUGCAUCUAUAGUCUUAGGACCUAUUUUCUUUCUCUUAGGAUUAGGUAUGAGUUCAUUAGCUAAACACCCCCACGCUUUUAGGAUCCUAAGGUUAGGUAAUCUUCCUUUCCACAACUCAUAAGGAGUUUUCUCAUUGUCCUUUAAUGUUAUCCUAUUAAGUAUGAAACAAGCAGUUAACAUUGCUUUCCCACACAAAUUCUCAGGUAGUCCACUAUUAAGAAGCAUAGAAUUUACCAUAUCCAUCAGAGUUCUAUUUUUCCUUUUAACCACUCCAUUAGAUUGGGGUGAAUAUGGUGGACUGACUUCAUGUAUAAUCCCAUGUUCUUCACAAAACACUCCAAGCUUAUUUGAGGUAUACUCUCUACCUCUAUCAGAUCUAAAUCUCUUAAUAUUUUUCUCCAACUGAUUUUCUACCUCACUUUUAUAAACCUGAGUUUAUCAAACACCUCAUCUUUUGUCUGAAUAAGAUAAAUAUGGCAACCUAGAGAAUUCAUCAUUAAAUGUCACAAAAUACUUAUUUUCACCUCUAGUAGGAGACCUAUUUGAAUCACACACGUCACUAUGUAUGAGCUCUAAGAUUUGGGUGUUUCUUUCUACAGGUUUGAAAGAAUUUCUUGUUUGUUUGGCUUGAACACACACUUCACGUUUAUUCUUAAGGUCUACAUUAGACUUAGGGAUUAGCUCAAGAUCCAUUAACCUUUUGAUUUUGCUCAAACUUACACGUCAUAACCUUCUAUGCCGUACAUUACAAGACUCAACAUUAAAAACUUGAGGAUAAAUUUUAUUAUCUUCAAAAACUAUAUUUAUUUUGAACAAUCCAUCACAAACAUAUCCUUUUCCAAUAAAGACAUUUUUCUAGUAAUAACAAUCCUAUUCAACUCCAUUACAAUUUUGUAUCCUUACUUUACUAAGGACGAUCCACUAAUAAGGUUUCUCCUUACGUCAGGAACAUGUCGCACAUCCUUGAGAGUUAGAGCCUUCCCAGAUGUCAUCUUCAAUUCUACUUCUCCUAUUCCACGUACUUGUGCGAUGGUGCCAUUUCCUAGAGUUACACUUCCUCCACUUGAAUUUUUGAAAAAUCGUUUGUCAAAACAUAUGUUUGCCCCAGAAUCUUUGUAAAUUGCCUCGCCUUAAAUGUGGCAAAGAAUCGUAAUCGUUUAGACUCUUAUGUUGCAGAGAAUCGUAAUCGUUUGGGGGCCAAGAAAUCUUAUAAUUGGAUUCUUGCAAGAUGUGCAAUGUUGGAUAAUUUUAUAGCUGCUAUAGUGCAGUUGUGGGUAAUGAUUGAGGUUUCUGAAAUUUUUUUUCUAAAACUACUCUUUGGCAAAGAAGCAAAGCUGACAUCGCAAACCCGACCACAAAUCACUCCCCUAAUCAUACUUUGGGUAAUUCUCUUUCUAGUUUGCCGCUUCCUUUUGUUAUUUUGGAUUAAUUUAAUUAAUUUUCAUAAUUUAGAAACAUGAAAUCAAUGAUGUACAAUCUUCCAUUCCCUAAAAAAAUGCACUGCUGCAUUUAGACCCUACAAAGUUCCAUAGAAAAUAUUUGGGGGUAAACCAUCCUCGACUUGGCAUUAUAUGUGUACUUGACACCAUUAAUCAUCUCAUCAGUAUCCUUAACCUACAACAUAAAAUAACAUGAAGUAUAAGAAAAAAUGUUCAUCAUUGACAACAACAUUAGAAAAAAGCAAAUAAAUGUAACAUAAACAGUCCAAAUGAUUAUAAUGUUGAUGUCAUGUUAUACCUUCAAGUAUAUCUCUAGGUUUGGUAAUCUUCUAGUUUGUUUUUGUUGUUGUGUUUACAAGAAGGUUUGGAUGAAACAUAGUGGGAGGAUAUUGAUCUAAAAUUUUGUUUGAAAAGUAUCGAAAUAUCAAUUUGAUAGAUUAUCUUUUCAAAUUUGUGGCCGUAGUGACUAUUAAGAAUUUUCUCGCUCAUCUUUAUUAUUUUUGAGUUGGAUUGUGAAUUGGAUUGUUACGUGCAACUAUGCACAAGUCUUCUCAAAUUGCAUAAUCAAUUGGACCCAAUAAGUGAUACUUUACGUCAAGUAUUGGUUCAUGACUAUAGUUCAACUUUCCAUCAUAAAUGUUCUUUUCGCCCUCCAAACUGUUGUUUUCAUCCUUCAAAAGACAUCCUCGUUCGAACUUGGUGUUGUAGCAUUCAAUUCUUUGAGAAUUUUCUUCUCUUCAUUGAAUAAUGCUUGGACCAUUCGUUCAAAACUUAUUAUAUCAUCUGUUUUUACUUCAUCUUUGAUUUUGGCUUAUUUUGCACAACAAUUUGAAAUAAAAAUAAUUCGAGUCGAAAGAUUACCAUGUUGAUGGCAUGUUAUACCACCAAGUAUAUCCCUAGGUGGUGUAAUCUUAUGAUUUGUGUUUGUUGUUGUGUGUACAAGAAGGUUUGGAUGCAACAUAGUCAAAGGAUGUGGUUCUAAAAUUGUUUGAAAAGUAUCGGAAUAUCAACUGAAUAAAUAAUCUUUGCGAAUUUGUGGCCAUCGCAGUGACUACUAGCAAUUUGAGCUCCUCGUUAUCAUUUUGGAGUUUUGCACUACUAAAUACAGUUUGAUAAUAUUAUGAAUUGGAUCACUACGUGCAAUUAUGUAAAAGUUUUUGCAAUUAUGUAAAAGUUUUCUCUAAUCAUAUAGUCUUCUAUAUCAAAUAAAGUGAUACAUUACGUCAAAUAUUGAGUGAUUGUUGUAGUUCUACUUUCCCUCAUAAAUAUUCUUUUCACCCUCCAUAUUGUUGUCUUCAUCCUCCAAAAGAUAUUCUGGUUCGAACUUGGUGUUGUAGCUGCCUUCCAUCUAGAGUGGUUAAAUUAGAAAAAGGAAAUUAUAAACAAUGGUAUGUAAGAAGUACAAUUUAUAGCUAAAGAAACCAAAAAAAGUAGAGAGAAAAGAAAAGAAUCGCUUACCACACAUUCCCUACUAUCCGGUUUAUCAAGUAUUCUCAAUAUCUAUAAAAUUAAAAAAAAGAUAUAGCAUAUCUACAUAAUAAAAGAAUGUUGUAUAAUAAAAUAAGCAUCUACAUCUACAAAAUUUAUAUUUUCACCGAGGACUGUACAAAAUAAGAAUGUUGUGCAUAUAUAAAAUAAGAAUGUUGUGCAUAUUUUCACCAAGGACUCUAAGGGUGUAAUGAGUAAUAAAAUAUUAUUUUUUUCACAAUGAAUAAAAUUCAUGAGUUAGAAUUUUUAAUAUAUGCAUGCAACAACAUCAGUCGUUGUUGCUAUUUACUUAAAUACGAGGAGAAGAAAAAUUCUUCCAAUUCUUACAUCAACUUGUAGCUAUAAUAAAAUAUGUUAAUUUUAAUAGUUCAUACAAUUAAAACACUAAUUAUUUACCUUUUGAAGCAAUAUUUAUGUCCCCGACCCUAGUCCUCCUAGAUAAAGGAUCCCCCUUUCUUGCGCCCCGUUUGCACAAUAUACUACAUAGGGUAAUAUUUUAGUUUGUACUUGUUGUUGUGUUUACAAGAAUGUUUGGAUGUAGCAAAAUCAGAGGAUGUGAAUAUAAAAUUCUUUGGGAAGUACCUGAAUAUCAACUUAAUAAAUAAUAUUUUCGAUUUUGAGUAAAUGAAUCAAAAUUAUAUUAAGACCAUGCAACAUGAGUUAAGAAUGAUAGAGGAAGGAACUUAGACGCAAGAAUGACGAUAAAAAGUUAAUUAUCUUAUUAUGUGUGUUAAAUCGCACGUAGGCAUCCAUGACCAGAAUAUUAUGACAUUGUUAUUGGUAGUAUUAAACUAAAAGAUGAUAAUGGAAAGCUUCGCUUUCUAGCAUGCCUAUUCAAACUUUCAUGAGCUUUACAUCCAAAUUUCAUUCUUUCACUUAGGUUAAUCAAAACAUGGUGCUCAAUUGAUUGCAAAGAUAGUUGCGCCUAUGCAAAAAAGUAAAAAAAAUACGUAUAUUAAAUAUUUUAAUCAAUUUGUACUUUUAUAAAGGAAAGUUAAAAUUUUGGUGCAACAAGCUUCUCUCAAAUAAUAAAAUUAAUUGAGCCCUAACCCUUUUUUGCUCAAGAGUUCCAACAUAGCAUUCAACUCUUGGGGAAUUCUCUUCUCUUAAUUGAAUAAUCCUCAAACCAUGUUUUUCAAAACUACUUUUAUCAUCCAUCGUCGCUUCAUCUUUCACCUUGACGAAUUAUGCACAACCAUUUGAAAUAAAAGUAUUUUGAGCCAAAAUAUUACGAUGUUGAUGGCAUGUUAUAAGACUAAGUACAUCCCUAGAUAGGGUAAUCUCCUAGAUUGUGCUUGUCGUUAUUGUAUUGUGGUACAAGAGGGGAUCUUAUAUUUAUAUAACCUCAAAUACAUUGAGUUUUUUGCCCAUCAAGGAUUCUAAAGAUAUUCUUGCAGUCAUAAGAUGAAACUUUUUAUCCUGAAUAAAUGGGUUCCCAAGCUCUCACCCAAAGAUUCCACUAUACUUAAUCUAUAUCCCAAGCUCGCACCCGAAAAUUCCACUAUACUUCCCUUGAACCAAUUGCUAUUGUUCGGGUCAAUUAGCUUUCCCGGAAUAUAAAAUUUUUGUUGAAUCGAGCUUCCACGCUGGAAAAGGAAUUAGUAACUUAAAAUAAAUAAUGAGAAACAAUUAAUUAAUAAAUACAAAGAAAUAAAGAUUAAUAACUUACAAUCACUGUAAACUGGCCACCAUCAAGUGUAUUAAUAUUAAUCAUCUGAGUCGGCCUCAAAAUCUGCAUAUGCCUUAGCAUCUGCAAGUAAAAGAAAAAAAUCAAUUGUCAGAUAAAAACAAACCUUAUACGCCACAAUAAUUCAAGCAAGGAUGACGAUAAAAAGUUAGACGCAAAGAUGGCGAUAAAAAGUUAAUGAUGUCAUUAUGUGUGCUAAAUCGCACGUAGGCAUCCAUAGCCAGAAUAUUAUGACAUUGUUAUUGGUAGUAUUAAACUAAAAGAUGAUAAUGGAAAGCUAGCAUGCCUAUUCAAACUUCCGUAAGCUUUACAUCCAAAUUUCAUUCUUUUGCUUGGGUUCAUCAAAAUAUGGUGCUCAAUUCACUGCAAAGAUAGUUAUGCCUGCACGAAAAAGUAAAAAAAAGCGUAUAUUAAAUAUUUUAAUCAAUUUGUACUCUUAUAAAAGGAAAUUUGUAAUUUUGGUGCAACAAGCUUCCCUAAAAUAGUAAAAUUAAUUGAGCCAUAACCCUUUUCUGCUCAAGAGUUCCAACAUAGCAUUCAAUUCCUGGGGAAUUCUCUUCUCUUAAUUGAAUAAUCCUCGAACCAUAUUUUUCGAAACUACUUAUAUCAUCCAUCCUCGCUUUAUCUUUCACCUUAGCGAAUUAUGCAAAACCAUUUGAAAUAAAAGUAAUUUGAGCCAAAAUAUUACGAUGUUGAUGGAUGUUAUAUGACUAAGUACAUCCCUAGAUAGGGUAAUCUUCUAGGUUGUGCUUGUUGUUGUUGCGUUAUGGUACAAGAGGGGAUCUUAUAUUUAUAUAAGCUCAAAUGCCUUGAGUUUUUUGAUAAAUGGGUCCACAAGCUCUCACUCGAAGGGUCCACUAUACUUAACCUAUACUCCAAGCUUGCACCCGAAGGUCCUACUAUACUUUCUUUGAACCAAUUGCUAUUGUUCGGGUCAAUUGGCUCCCCCGUAGUAUAAAUUUUUUGUUGAGCCGAGCUUCCACGCUAGAAAAGGAAUUAGUAACUUAAAAUAAAUAAUGAGAAACAAUUAAUUAAGAAAAAUAAAGAAAUAAAGAUUAAUCACUUAUAAUCACCGUAAACUGGCCACCAUCAAGUGUAUUAACAUUAACCAUUUGCAUCGGCCUCAGAAUUUGCAAGUAAAAGAAAAAAAAUCAAUCGUUAAAUAAAAACAAACAUUAUAUGCCACAAUAAUUCAAGCAAAGAUGACGAUAAAAAGUUAGACACAAGGAUGAUGACAAAAAGUUAAUUAUGUCAUUAUGUGUGCUAAAUUGCACGUAGGCAUCCAUAGCCAGAAUAUUAUGACAUUGUUAUUGGUAGUAUUAAACUAAAAGAUGAUAAUGGAAAGCUUCACUUUCUAGCAUGCCUAUUCAAACUUUCGUGAGCUUUACAUCCAAAUUUCAUUCUUUCACUUAGGUUAAUCAAAACAUGGUGCUCAAUUAACUGCAAAGAUAGUUGCACCUGUGCGAAAAAGUAAAAAAACGUAUAUUAAAUAUUUUAAUCAAUUUGUACUCUUAUAAAGGGAAGUUGAAAUUUUGGUGCAACAAGCUUCUCUCAAAUAGUAAAAUUAAUUGAGCCCUAAGCCUUUUCUGCUCAAGAGUUCCAACACAGCAUUCAAUUUUUGGGGAAUUCUCUUUUCUUAAUUGAAUAAUCAUCGAAUCAUGUUUUUCGAAACUACUUAUAUCAUCCAUCGUCGCUUCAUCUUUCACAUUGGCGAAUUAUGCAAAACCAUUUGAAAUAAAAGUAAUUUGAGCCAAAAUAUUACGAUGUUGAUGGAUGUUAUACGACUAAGAACAUCCCUAGAUAGGGUAAUCUUCUAGGUUGUGCUUGUUGUUGUUAUGUUAUGGUACAAGAGGGGAUCUUAUAUUUAUAUAAGCUCAAAUACCUUGAGUUUUUUGAUAAAUGGGUCCUCAAGCUCUCACUCGAAGGUUCCACUAUACUUAACCUAUACUCCAAGCUCGCACCCGAAGGUUCUACUAUACUUCCCUUGAACCAAUUUCUAUUGUUCAGGUCAACUGGCUCCCCCGUAGUAUAAAUUUUUUGUUGAGUCGAGCUUCCACACUAGAAAAGGAAUUAGUAACUUAAAAUAAAUAAUGAGAAACAAUUAAUUAAUAAAAACAAAGAAAUAAAAAUGAAUCACUUACAAUCACUGUAAAUUGGCCACCAUCAAGUGUAUUAAUAUUAACCAUCUGCAUCGGCCUCAGAAGCUGUAUAUGCCUCAGCAUUUGCAAGUAAAAGAAAAAAAAAAUCAAUCGUUAAAUAAAAACAAACAUUAUAUGCCACAAUAAUUCAAGCAAAGAUGACAAUAAAAAGUUAGAUGCAAGGAUGAUGAUAAAAAGUUGAUUAUGUCAUUAUGUGUGCUAAAUCGCACGUAAGCAUCCAUAGCCAGAAUAUUAUGACAUUGUAAUUAGUAGUAUUAAACUAAAAGAUGAUAAUGGAAAGCUUCACUUUCUAGCAUGCCUAUUCAAACUUUCGUGAGCUUUACAUCCAAAUUUCAUUCUUUCACUUAGGUUAAUCAAAACAAGGUGCUUAAUUGACUGCAAAGAUAGUUGCGCCUGUGCGAAAAAGUAAAAAAAACCGUAUAUUACAUAUUUUAAUCAAUUUGUACUCUUAUAAAGGGAAGUUGAAAUUUUGGUGCAACAAACUUCUCUAAAAUAGUAAAAUUAAUUGAGCCCUAACCCUUUUUUGCUCAAGAGUUCCAAUAUAGCAUUCAAUUCUUGGGGAAUUCUCUUAUCUUAAUUGAAUAAUCCUCGAACCAUGUUUUUCAAAAUUACUUAUAGAAUCCAUUGUCGCUUCAUCUUUCACCUUGACAAAUUAUGCACAAUCAUUUUAAAUAAAAGUAAUUCGAGCCAAAAUAUUACGAUGUUGAUGGCAUGUUAUAAGACUAAGUACAUCCAUAUAUAGGGUAAUCUUCUAGGUUGUACUUGUUGUUGUUGUGUUAUGGUACAAGAGGGGAUCUUAUAUUUAUAUAAGCUCAAAUACCUUGAGUUUUUUGCCCAUCAAGGAUUCUAAAGAUAUUCUUGCAAUCGUAAGAUGAAACCUUUUAUCCUGAAUAAAUGGGUCCCCAAGCUCUCACUCGAAGGUUCCACUAUACUUAACCUAUAUCCCAAGCUCGCACCCGAAGGUUCCACUAUACUUCCCUUGAACCAAUUGCUAUUGUUCGGAUCAAUUGGCUCCCCCGGAGUAUAAAAUUUUUGUUGAGUCGAGCUUCCGCGUUGGAAAAGGAAUUCGUACCUUAAAAUAAAUACUGAGAAAUAAUUAAUUAAUAAAGACAAAGAAAUAAAGAUUAAUCACUUACAAUCACUGUAAACUGGCCAACAUCAAGUGUAUUAAUAUUAACCAUCUGCGUCGGCCUCAACAUCUGCAAGUAAAAGAAAAAAAUCAAUUGUCAGAUAAAAGCAAACAUUAUAUGCCACAAUAAUUCAAGCAAGCAUAAUACUUGGUUAAGGCUCCUCAUAAUUAAUUAGCUUUAUAAGAAAACACUUCUGCUUAUAAAUGUUGUUAGAAGCACUGUUAAUAGAAAAAACGUCAAAAAAUUUCUUACAACUAAAAAUGCUUUUUGGAAAUGCUUCAUAUAGAACCAUGUUGCAUAAACACAGUUCAAAUAUAACAUAAACUACUUACUAAAGCUAGAACAGCUCUCCCAAGUCUAAGGUAUGUUGUAUUAAUUUAUUGAAAUUGAAAUAGCUAUUUAAAAGUAGGAAAAUCACUUACAAUUUCAGUAUACGACAAGUAAGAUCAUAAGGUCUGAAAAUUUGAAAGGACGAAGAGUAUUUUCUCAUUUUGUCAAAAGGGCUAAAGGUACACCACACCCUUAAACUUAAAAAAGACUGAGAUUUAAACAUGUAGCACCUAAUUAAGUUUAAUAUCCAAAUAGAAAGUAAAAUAUAGGUUCGGUUUAACUAUGAAAUGACGACUCUAAAAGACAAGCCGAUGACUUAAAAACACCACGAUGCUAUUGCACGUUGACACCGUUACCAUCUUGCAGUCUAGAGAUAAGUGGGUCCUUCAGAUCAAACAAAUAAGUGAGUCUUUUGAGAAUCAAAUAAAUGUUUUGAGAAUAAUUAAUGUUGGUUGGUAUAGGUUAAGUUAAUAGCUCAUCUUCCAUAUUUUUAUUUAUGAAGAGGGGGACAAAGCCCCAAAAACAUAACUAAGAAACAACAUCACAUUUUGAACCAAAAAAAAAAAAAAAAAACGACGACAACAAAUUAAUCUACAGUAAAAACUCACCAAAUGACUCAUCCCACCAAAACUCAAACAGCUUGAAUGUAUUUGACAUCUUAUCGUUUCUGUUUUUGAAUAGCUUAUACCCCAAAAGUAUUGGAUGCAGGUGGGGGUGCCUCUGAAUGCUGGGAACGUACUGGGAGCGAAGGAUAACAAACCAAUACCAAAAUCGGAGACAAUCAUUAGAAAAGCUAUGAACAAAUCCUUGGAACCCGAAAGCAAACACAUGCUACAAAGGACUUCUUCGAUUGCUGACUUGGAACAUGGUCAAUUGACUAAUUAUUAUUGAAUAGCUUGAAUUUAUAUUUUUUAAUUACUUUAAUUAGUUGUUAUGUCUUAAUUAUUAUUUACUUAAUGAAUAAUUUGUAUUUAAAUAUUUUAUUAUUUUUAUUUUUAUUCAAUAAUAUGUGAGUAUUUUGUGAAUAAUAUGUGAAUUUUGUGUGUAUUAUUGAAAUUUUUAUUAAAAAAAUAAGUGUAUUAAAUAUGAAAAGUACUUACGUACGUGUACAAUAUGAGUAUUAAACGUAAAAAUGCUAAAUUCUUUAUACAUGUAAUAACUCUAGAAAAGUAAAAACAAGGGGACAAUAUAGACUCAGGUAAUGGCCUAAUAGUAAUAAAUAAUACUCUAAACUACUCUUAUAGAUAAACAAAAAUCGGGGAAAAACAAUUAUAAAAAAAAAAUUGCAGUGUCUAUGUAAAGAGUAUAACCGCGCCUCUAUACUAUUUACGAAAAAGAAUUUAAAAAAAUACCCCAGUAAAGCAGUGCAACUAUACACUUGUUUUAUUAAAAAAAAAAUUCGGUAGUAUAGCCGCGCGGCUAUACUAUUUAUAAAAAUAAAAAAAAGAAAGGACCCGCUACUCGCUUAACGCUUGUUUUUUUAGGAAAUCACUUUCACUUUGUCCCACAUUGAGAGAGAGUAGCUCACUUGAAACACUAAAUAGGAAGUCUUUUAAUUAUUCAUUUAGUUUUAUUUUAUUUUAAAGUCUAUGAGGGUUUUAAUAUUGCUAAAAUGGCACGCUUGCAACUCACGCGUUCUCAAGCCUAUUCUAGGGUUUGACAUUUUCAGGCUGUUCGCGUUAAAACUAAACAUAAAUAAAGCUAACUUACAGGUGAUGUGGAUGGUUUGGACUCGAGGAGCCUUCGGACCAUGGCGUCCUUCCUCGAUACGUGAUGCUGGAUUCGGCCUGGAGAGAGAAACGGCAGGUGAGGUCUAAGACACCGGUGUGGCGCCGGCUGAAGACCCUCUGAUGCCAAAGUUAGUGACUAAGAGCAAUUCUAUUGACAAUGAAAGCACAAGUUAAGUAAACAGUCUUACCUCUUGGCUGGGCCAAGGGGUUCUAUUUAUAAAAAGCAUUUGUGAUGCUCUUAGUACUUAGUUUCGAUGUGUUUCGACGGUCGACGUGUGCCCUGACAGGUUCUGGCGGGAGUUCAGAGGUUAUCUGUUAGAAUCGGCAGGAUGUGCUGACUGGUCACUCGACAUAGUGUGCCGAACGUUGGUGUGGGUGAAUCGGCCGUUAGCAUUUACCAACUUGACGACCUCGUAUGAAUCGGUGGAGAAUGUCGAUUGACCUUUCGGCAUGGCUCACUGAGCUGGUCUUAGACUUGUUUACCUUCCACGUGCUAUGAUGUGAGUGGGGGGUCAGAUAUGGUACAAACACAGGCUAAACAAAUUCUCUAUAGUUAAUGACUAAAUAAUAAAACACUAAAGAAUAAUGAAACAUGUGAUCAAAUUCAUAAAUAAAUUAAAAGUAAUGUUUAUCUUGAGAGAAAAUAUAGUGAUGAUUUUGAGAAAAAAGAAUAGUGUUGGAGAUUUCUAGAAAUUGCAGGAUUGAAAUAGCUCAGCAAUCCCCAAAUUCCAAAAUUGUAACUUAACAUGUAUGAGACAUUUGAUCUGAAAGGUAAGACAUGUCAUUUUUCAUGCACUCAUAAUGGGAACGUUUUUUGGAAUCUAAUAUGAUUUUAUUUCCUUGAUCUUCCUUGAUAAUCAAUUAGAAUCCCUUUAGGAGUGCAUCUCAUUUAGGCAUAUUUUUCAAUAUCUUUUGUUCAUUCCUUCUUUCCUUGUAUUAUUAAAUUCCUACUUGUCUUUCAAGUAUUUUGAUUGAAGAUCACGUUGGUAUUUCCUUGGGCCUCAAGGGUAAUCUUGCUUUGUAUUGGAAAGUAUCUUUGAUUGGCAAUCACUUGUUUAAUUAGAUCAAUGUUUCUAAAGGGUUGGGAUAUUCUUGGAAUUAAUUCAAGAAUAUUAGGAAUCUUGAUAAGGUGAUUGUGAAUAUCCUUUUUGGAGUACAUGUGAGUUUUAUACAUACUAUGAAACAUAUCUUUGGUUAUUUGGUUAGCCUUCAAUGAAUUUGAUUUUGUGUUGGACGUGGGCUUUUCUUCCUAGAGAAGAAAAGGUUCCAUAAAAUAAGAACUUUGUCUUCUUUGUUUUUAGGAGAUUUCACGAUCAUGUUUUCAGUGCAUAAACUUUGGAAAGCUGAGUUUGUAUUUGAGAUAAAUUAUCAAGUGUUCCAUGUUUACUUGGUGAUUUAUCAAACACUUUUGUCAUUCAUAUUUCAUUCAUUUGCAUGUUCGAUGACUCAUACGGUUGAGGGCACCAAAACCGUGUUGGCGUUUUUUCUCCAGUGAGUUUGAAUCGAUCGUGACCAGUAUUGGAUUCAACACAAGGAGAGUUGGAAGAACUUCGACGAGCUUAAAGCAAUUGUGACCAGUAUUGCGUUCAACAUAAGGAGUGUUAAAGAUCAUCCCGUGACAGAAGUUGAGUUACGAAGAAGUAGGUAAACAUUAUCUAGAACGUGUCUAGGAUAAGUGUGUGAGUAAUUAUUGUAAUCAUUGUUCUAUAGUGGAUUUGUGUUGGACUGAGGAAUCCUAUGGAUUUUCCCCAUAAGUGCGAUUUUACCACUUAAAAUAAGUCUAUGCGUGUUCCUUUAUUUUACGUUCAGCACGUUUUAGGAUUGAUAAGCCAUAUCAAUCCUUAUACCAAAGUUUAUUUUUUGUUUAUUGAUUAUAAUUUUAAAUUGUCCUAUUCACCCACUCUAGGCAUUUUUAGUCAUCCUACAAGUAAUUUCAACAUUUUAACCCAAGGUUACAUAAAUCCAUGGGUUAUGGUGUGACAACAUGCACUGGCAGUGGAAGAAUUGUCUAACUGUUUAGCAAUGAGAUUAUUGGAAUAGGAAGGGCAAAAAAAGUAUCAUUCUGGAGGUCGUUGCAUCAUUCGAUACCCAGGUUUGGCAUGCCUUUUUCGAAAUUGAGGGAUCUCAAAACGACCUCAACAUGCUUGGUCAAUCCUUGGUAUUCAACUAUGUGUUGAGAGGUCAUUCCCCCUAGAUCACGUAUCAAAUCAACAAUACCGUAUACUCGAGUAGGUACUACCUAGCUGACGAAAUUUAUCCAAAGUGGAUGGCAUUCGUCAAAACAAUUCCAAAUCCCCAAUUGGAGAAGGAAAAAAGCCUUGUUGUGUUUUGGUAUCCUGUAAGCUCGUUGGGCAAUUAUUAGGUGUAUUGCUCAUAUGUUUGAUGAAGAGAUGCUCCGGAGCAUUAUGAUGACUUGCAUCAUCCUCCAUAACAUGAUUGUGGAGGAUGAGUAUGAUUAUGAUGCCCCUGAGAUGUUCGAACCCGAUCCCAUUAAUAUGGCAUUGACAAGAAUUUAUGAACGACCCGUGGGAGCAAAUGGAUAAUCACUGGAGCACGAACCGUUGAUUAGAGACAGUCGGUACAACAAUCAUAUGAUUGACCAUUAUAUGAAAAUGCAAUCUUCUUAUGUUCAAGAGAGACAUCAAGUUGACUUGAUCGAGCACUUAUGGGCGAUGAAGGGCAAUCAAGGUGGAUGAAGUCAAGUUUAAUGCUUUGUUUGGAAUUAUGCUUUGUUUUUAACAAUGGUUUGUUUUAAAUUAUGCUUUGUUUUGUGUGUGGUUUGUAAUGAAUUAAGGUUUGUUUUGAUGUAUGAAAUGUUUUUAAUGAAUAGCUAUAUUAUUUAAUACUUUCUUUAUUUAAUAAAAAAGAAACAAUACAACAAAUUAAUAUAUGGCAACUCUUUCAAUACAACCUAAUGGUUUUGAUCAUUUAACCAAUCUGUGUUGCUAGGUCCACCGUUAUGGAAAAGCUUUCUUCUCAUAACAUCUCUUUGUUUUAGCUUCCAAUAGGACUUUGUUUCAGGAGACAUAUGGCUCAUAUCAAUGGCCAUGAUUUUCAUCUCUUUGUCCUCUACGUCUUGUCACUGUGCCUGCUGCCUUUCUAUUGCAUAUGCUUCAUAUCAUGUCUUGUCAGCUUCAUCUCUUUUCAAGUCUCUUUAAAUUCUAAGUGAGCCGUUUAUAGCAAUUUGGUCAAAAAAAUUUGCACAUUCAGUGUUCGAAGUGCUCCCUCUCUUGGCCUUUGCCGCUUUUCACCCAAUAGGCAUCGGCUCACGUUGGAUUGGUGAGACUUGAUCCAUUGGGGGGAGUCCAAUGGAGAAUCCUUUGCCAGUGAAUUGUGAAGUGGCGUCUCAUUCAACACAACCGUCGGAUGUGUGGAAAUAAUUUUGAAUAUUGAAAAAUUCUUCACAACUUCCCAACAUUGGUGAUUGAUGAAACUUUUUUUGCCUUGACCAAUGGCACCGAACCACAUUUGCGCUUGAAUAAUCUAUUAAAAAAUAAAAUUGGAAAUGCAAGAAAUUUUUUUUUAAAAAGUGCCAUUAAAUUGAAUAAAACUGCAUUUAGAAAGCUUUUACCUCGUCACCAAGAUUUUUACCACUUCGAAGGUUCUUCCUCACUUUUGCCAACGCAUCUCUCCAACUCUUUAUUCAAAAUUUUCCACUUAUUAGCCAAGGCCAUUUCCGGACUAGCCGAACCCAAUCUUUCACAAAAUUCUCUAUUAAUUUUUCUCCACAUAUGAGAAGACUUCACGGGCAAUGACCAAAUUUGACCCAACACUCACACAACAAAAUAUCUUCCACGGUUGUCCACGAGCCUUCGGCUUCUCUUGAAGAGGCCAUCUUUAUUUUUACACAAAUGGAUUUAGUAGUAUAAAAUUUGGGGUGAAAAGUGAAAAAUAUUGGAAGGAGAAGAAUUUGUAUGAAGAUUUUGUGUGGAAAGUGAAUAAUAUUGGUAGGUAUUUAUAAAAAUAAAAAUAAAAAAAUCCUUUAUUUUUUGAUAUUUUUUUACAAAGUUUUUUGAUUUUUUUAGCCAGAAAAUGGGCAGCCAUUGGAUUGGAAGAGAUUUUCGGAUCAGAGCCUCUAGGAGAAGCCACUGGAUUGGAAGAGAUUUUCGGAUCAGAGCCUCUAGGAGAAGCCACGUGGCUUGUAGUCGUUGGUUUCUUGCAGCAUUGAUGCUAGCAUUGCGUCAGCUGCUCGAAGGUAAGAGGACAUGUCAGAUCUCCCCGUGGGCUUGUCCGGGCUCGUGGGUCCCAAGCCUUGCCCAGGCUGGGUCUUCCAUGCUAGAGCUACCUGGGCUAACCCCUUGCAGUGGAAGUGCUCUUAGAAGAACCUUCGACAAAAUUGUCUAGUCCCUAAAACAUUGGACAAUAGGAGGUUACCAAGACAAAAUUGUCUAGUCCCUAAAACAUUGGACAAACCAAUCAAGUUACUGUCCGACAAUGACAUGAAAUAAACUCUUUAAGUUACUCACUGAGAGUGACAUUAAACAACUCUUGGAUUAAUGACAACUGUACUGAAACGGUAUGUCCAAUUUUGAAGGAUUUGGACCAUUUUAACAUUUUUUUUUUCUUGUGUGAAUGACUUUUUUAUCAUGCACGCGUCCAAGGAACCCUCUAGAACAAGGACCACAAUUACCCUCUAGGGCUCAGCACCAAAAUAACAAACCCCUUCGUCCACAUAUAUUUACAGACCCACCUCUGCAUCUGACACUGUUUGAGGCUUUUCCCAUUCCCCCUUCCCCCAUCGAUUCACAAACACAAUAGAAGCGAAGUCUGUUCUGUUUAGAGAGAAGGAGAGCAAUGGCAGAGCAUUUGGCUUCCAUAUUUGGGACAGAGAAGGACAGGGUGAACUGCCCUUUCUACUUUAAGAUAGGGGCGUGCAGGCAUGGAGAUCGCUGCUCCAGACUCCAUACCAAGCCCAGCGUCAGCCCAACCCUCUUGCUCUCCAACAUGUACCAGAGGCCCGAUAUGAUCACUCCCGGCGUCGACGCUCAGGGCCAGCCCAUCGACCCCCGCCAGAUCCAAAGACACUUUGAGGUCUGCUUGCCCUUCUUCAUAUUCAAAAUUGAAAACCCAUUUGACAUUUUUGCUUUUAUUUGAUGUUUGUUUUUUGUUAUAGAGGAAAGUAACCCAUGAUUUAACAAAAACCCAUUUGCAUUUUGCGCUGUUUUUGUUCGGAAUGUUGUGUUUUGGAUUUGUUGUGUGCUAUUUCUAUGAAUUAGAGGUUUUUAUUAUGUGUAUUGGACUCUCUCCGACUUUCCCUGUGUG
RNAcentral lists this long non-coding RNA (81665 nucleotides) under Prunus persica (peach). Its description in RNAcentral is "long non-coding RNA (PPER_LNC005784)". Lineage: Eukaryota; Viridiplantae; Streptophyta; Magnoliopsida; Rosales; Rosaceae. The record is from RNAcentral.